AAUAUUUAACAAUUUACAUACUAAAAAUAAUCCAAACAAAAUUUAAAAUGAAACAGUAUCCAAAAUAUUAUUAUUUAAUAAAAUCUCCUUAAAAUAUUUUUUUUCUACAUAUUAUUUAAUUUCCAUGCAAAUCUUCUACAUCAGAGAAUAAAAAAUUAUAUAAUUUAUUUAGAUAAAAAUGUAGGAACUCUCCCUCAUCUAUAAGCAAUUUAUCUCCUAAUUUUUUUAUUAACAUACACAUAAUUACUAAUUAAGCCAAAUAAAUUAAAAUUUAAACCAAAAUUUUAAAAAAAUUUAGUAAUAUAUUUUAAUCAUAUUAAUUUUUUAUGAUCUAUUUAAAAUUUAAAAGUCGUUAAUAUUUAAUCUUUUUAAAUUUUAGAAAAAUAUUUUAUUAUUUUGAAUAAAUAAAUUGUGUAAUGUCUAUAUAUGUUUAAUCAUUCGUGAUAUAUAGCACAUUAAGCUAUUCCAUUUAUUAUGAUUUUGAAUUAUUAUAUUGUUUUGAGUUUUUUCCUAAUAUCAUUUUAAAGAAUUUUUUUAUUUGUAAAAAAAUUUUAAACAUUGUUUGAUUUUUAAAUUUCCGUGGGACUUAAUCUACAUGUAUUAGAAGUUUGAAAAAAUUAGAUUUUUUUUAAAAAUUAAAAGUUAUGCAUUUAGUUUUCCAAAAAUUUUAACCAGUAUAUAUUAUAUUUUUAAUAUUUUAUGUAACGUGUAUUUCACGUGCACUUAGCUAGUAAAUCUAAGCUAGAAACUAAAAUGAAGAAUUAGGUAUAGAUUAAGAAUAUUGGGUAGAACCAAAAUACUUUUUCAAUUGUCAAAAAAAUGAUUGUUUCGGUGAGUAGAAUGACGACGAAGUGCUGCCAAAUGUGACGAUAACGAUAUGCUAGCGAAGGCGACAAUGAUUGGCGAAGGUGAUGACGAUGACGUGUUGCUGCCAGUGAGGAGGACAAUGAUGUGUCGGAAGGACGAUGACUUACGCAAUUAAUAUGAGAGAUAAAAGAUCAUGAAAAUGCAAACUUAUUGGCAGUUAAAGAUCUUAAAAAGUAAAACAAAGUAUACAAAAGACAAAUUAGAUAGAAAAUUAUAUAGAUCUUAAAAAGUAAAACAAAGUAUACAAAGACGAAUUAGAUAAAAAAUUAUAUUAUGACAUAUUAAAAUGAAUUAGGUGGAGCUAAAAUAGAGCUAAAAUACCUUUCCAACUGUGACGAAGGUGAUCAGGGACUACGACGAUGAGGAACAAAUAAAAUAUUACUAAAAUAAUAUUUGAGAAAAUAAAAAUUUGAGAAAAUGUAUAGUGGAAAUGAAAAAGAAUAUGCUUUAUAUUUAAAAAACGUAUAGAUGAAGAUGAGAAAGUAUUGAAAAAAGUUAUACUUUAUGUAUGAAUAAGUAUUAUGAUGAGAUCAAAUUAGUUAGGGAAGGAAAAUUUUAUAUGCGAGUUAUUAAGAUAUUUUUUAUAUUAAGAUAUAUUGAGAUAAAAUUGGGUAGGGAAGGAAAAUUUUAUAUGCAAGGGUAUUAAGAUAUUUUUUAUAUUAUGCGUAGAUGGCGGGCGGGUAUUACAUGAGAGAAAUAUUAAAUAUUUCGCUAUAUUUUUCAAUUUUUGACGAAUUCAAAUUUUAAAUAUAUAUAUAUAUAUAUAUAUAUAUUAAAGUAAAAAUAUUAAAAUUUUAAUUAUGUUUAAUUUUAAGAGUUAAAAUUUAAUUUCGAUCUACUUUAAGAUUUAAAUUUAAAAAUUUAAAAAUUUUUAAAAUUUAAUUUCGAUUCACUUUAAGAUCUAAAUUCAAAUACAUGGGUAGUGGAGAUAUUAUAUACUUUUGAAAAAUCUAAAAUUUCAUGAAUUAUUUGAAAUGAAUGGUUCAAAAUUUCUGACCAUGAAAAAAUUAGUAAAAAAAGACAGACAUUUUCAGAAAGAAAUUCAUGUUUAAUUAAAAAUCAAAUUUUAAUUUUGAUCCAUUUUAAGAUUUAAAUUCAAAUGCGAGGGUAGUGGAAAUAUUAUAUGUUUAUAACGAAUUCAAAAUUUAGUGGAUUAUUUGAGAUGAAUGGUUCAAAAUUUCUGGACAUGAAAGAAUUAGUUAAAAAGAUAGAGAUAUUUUCGCAAUAAAAUUUGUUUUUAAUUUAAAAUUUAAAAUUUAAUUUUGAUACAUUUUUAUAUUUAAAUCCAAAUGUAAGGAUAUAUUUAAUUCAAACUUAUGAUAGGUUAGAGAAUUUUUGAGAAACAAUGAAAAAAAAUUAGAAUUACAUUUUCGGAAAGAAAUUCAUUUUUAAUUAAAAAUCAAAUUUUAAUUUUGAUCCAUUUUAAUAUUUAAAUUCAAAUGCGAGGGUAGUGGAGAUAUUAUAUGUUUAUGACGAAUUCAAAAUUUAGUGAAUUAUUUGAGAUGAAUGGUUCAAAAUUUCUGGACAUGAAAAAAUUAGUUAAAAAAAUAGAGACAUUUUCGCAAUAAAAUUUAUUUUUAAUUUAAAAUUUAAAAUUUAAUUUUGAUUCAUUUUAAUAUUUAAAUCCAAAUGUAAGGAUAUAUUUAAUUCAAAAUUAUGAUAGGUUGAGUGAAUUUUUGAGAAAUAAUGAAAAAAAAUUAGAAUUUUGAUGAGAUAUUUGAGAAAAAAAAAGCGUGGAUAUUAUGUGUGAGAAGAAAAAUAUUUAAAAAACGCAUAGAUAGAAGAUAUGAUAUAAAUGCGAGGAUAUUAUUGUCACAAAAAGUGACAGUGUGACGCCCCAACUUCCCAGGGGGUCACCCAUCCUAGGACUACUCCCGUCCUAGCACACUUAACUCUCUUAACCUCUUGGGGCUUGCCAUCACCCAAAAUGCUUAAGCCGGGUUAAGAGUUUAGUCCUAUUAUAUCUCAUAUAUAGAACUAUCUGGGGUCUCACAGACAGAUAUCGCUAGAUAAAAUCUAAUAGUAAAAAAUUAAUAUCUUUAUUUGAGAAUAAAUUAUUACUUAAUAAAUUAUUUGAAAUGAUUGGUUGAAAAUUACUGGACAUGAAAAUAUUAUUAAAAAGGAUAGAGGCAUUUUUGGAAAGAGGAAAAAUUCAAAACCCACGCUUUUAUAAGUAGUAUAGAUUAGGCUACUAUACUAUCUAUAGUACCGGAGCUCCGGUACUGUAGUUUUAUUUUCCAUAUUAGGGUGUUUAAAUUAACGAUCCACAAUAUUAAAUAUGAUCUAGGGUAUAUAAAGUUUUUAGGAAUAAAAUUUUAGUUUUUUUCGACAUCGUUUACUUAGUAAAUAAAUUAUAUCAAAAUGAACAGUAAUAAUUGAAUAAUCUUUAAAAUUUGAGCAUAGGACUUUUAAAUUCAAGAUCAAGAAUAUUAACCAUAAUCUAGAUAGUUUAAAGUAUUUUCUAUCAAAAUUUGAAGAAAUUUAAAUUCUUCUACACCGUUAAACUCCAAACUUGCCAUAGUAGCCAUUGAAAAUUGAUAAUUUUGAAAUGGCUUGAUCAUAAAGUAAACUAUAUCGAAAAAAUAUAAAAUUUUAUUUUUAAAAAUUUUAAAUACCCUAUAUCAGUUUUAACAGUAUGGAUCGUUAAUUUGAACACCCUAAGAUCACCCUAAGAUCGAAAACGAGACUAUAAUACCAGUCCCGGUACUAUAGAUAGUAUAGGAGACUAGCUCUCUCUCUCUCUCUCUCUCUCUCUCUCUCUAUUAUACUCUUAUGAGUAUAUCUAUACCUCUCUCUCUCUCGCUAUUAUACUCUUAUGAGUAUAUCUAUACUUUUAUGAGUAUAAAUAUUUUUAUACUCAUAAGUUUUUAACUUUUGGAUGAAGGGAUGUGUGGUUAAGAUAGUAAUGGAUCCCAAUUAGGAUGAUAGUGAACCAUAGGGUUGAGUGGAUGGUUGGUUGAACAAUAUGAUCUAACAAGUAUAAAUGAUCAAAGGGGUAAAUGUAACAUCCGCAAACUUAUAAGUACAAAAGAAUUUACACUCAUAAGAAUAUAGUAGCCGAAGAGAGAGAUAGUUAGGCUGGAAUGCUUCUAAUAGCACCAAGUCAUUAGUGCUAUUAAAUUUUUGGCCCUUGGAUGAAGGGAUGUGUGGUUAGAAUGAUAGUGAUCCCAUAGGAUAGAGUAAGUGGUUGGUUGAAUAGGAUGAUCUAAGGGGUGGUCCAGGGUCUAGCUAGGGUGGUUCUAAUAGCACAAAGCAUUUGGUGCUAUCAUCAACCAGUUCUAUCUCUUAGAUCAUGCUAUUCCACCAAUCAACUACUAAACCCCUUAUAGGAAUCCAUUAUCAUCAUAACCCUACAAGUCUUCAUUCAAAAGUCGAAAACCUACAAGUACUAAUGACUUGAUAUUAUUAGAAGUAUUCUAAUCCAGCUACUAUCCUUUUAGAAAUAUCCUUCUAAGUCAUUUUAGUAGUAUGGAUUCCAAAUCGAUGAUCGGAAAUGUCAAAAUUGAUCUAGAGUAUUUAAAGCGUCUAGAAACUAAAUUUCAUAAAUUUUAAAGUUAUCAAAAAUUCCAAAUCUAGAGUAUAAAAAAUUUUAUAUCAAAAAUUUAAGUGAUUUAAAUUGCUCUAUACUGUUAAACAAGUAAACAGCUCAUAUUCGCCCUUAAAAACUAUCGAUUUUGUAAUCCUUUAAUAACUAUGUAAAUAAUUUUUAAAAGCUAUAAGAUUUAGUCUCUAGACGCUUUAAAUACUCUAAAUUAACUUUAACGAUUUCGAUCAUCGAUUCGGAAUCCCUGUUAUAUAAAACGACUUAUGAGGACGAAUGCCUCCAUCCUCCCAAAAAGAUAGUAGCUGCACUCAUAUUGAUGCCUCCAUCUUCCUUCGUCCUCCAGCUACUAUAUAUAUGAUAUAUCAAUUGAUAAUUAUAUUGAUUAAGAUCAAUUAUAUUGAUUAAUAUUAAUGGCCAAUUGGAUAACAAAAAGAAAAAGGAAAAAAAAAGACGAUUAAUUACACCAUUAUAACACAUUCUCAGUGUACAAAACAGACUCCAAGUGCAACAAAACACACUUUCACAAGUUCAUCACCAAACAAAGAUGAUUUCAGAAGUCACGCAAACGAGAGAAUUAUUGAGAUAAGAAAAUGUGAAAAGGAGGGUGGAUUUAGAGUUCUCACCUCUUAGGGCUCAAAAACCAUACUCUCAGCUUCUUUUUUGAUCGAUUGGAAGAGCGGCGUGGAAAGAUAGCGCUCGCCAAAACUUGGGAUCACAACCUGCAACAAGAGAGAGGGGGAAGCAAAUUCAUUCAAAAGCCAAACGAGCAUGAGUGGAGAUCAAAAUUCUUAGUAUUUUAAUAAGAUGAGUGAAUCAUUCUCAUAUAUUAACAUGACAAACAUUUGUUACCGCAGCAGUUUAGCAUUUGAUUAGAUCAAUAAACACAUUGUUUUAAGACGUAAGAGGGAAUAGAACUAUCUAAAUAUUGUCUAAGUAGAGUUAUUUGAAGAAUCACCGAUAGUUCUUUCUUCAAGAUCCCAUCGUUAGUUCCACACUGAAGCUCGAAGUAAAAGCUUCAAACUCCGGCCACAUCUUGUGAGAGAUUGAAGUUCAUCUCAGCCUCCUGCUCCAGCUGCUUCUUAAAGCUGGGUUAGUAUCUGCUAUCUAGGACCAUGAGCUUAGAGCUGUGCCUCAACGACAGGCUACUGGUCUUUCCACUUCUUUUUACUCAGGGAACACUUCAGAAUAAUUUCAAUCUAAUUCCAUGUUUCGUUGAAACUUUUAUCAUUUAUUAGGUACACAGAUCCAUUUCAAACAUGCUUUCCACCUUAGCUAUGAAACUUAUUUGAAAUUCCUAGAAGCCUAACUACAAAUUUAUCCCAAAAACUUUGGAUACUUGUGAUCAAAUACUAGAGAAAGAAAUAUUGACGAAGAUUUCUUAGCGACAUGACUUCUCUUUCUCGGCAAUACUUAGAGCGAUCCAAAGUGUCCAUAGGCCAGGUACGGGUCACAAGACAGGAUCCAAUAAAUUUCAGGUUUUGGUGCAAAUCAGGCCCCGAGUUUAGCGAAUGAUAUGGCUUUUCUUUUCCAGGCAUUAUGAAGAGAUAAAGAGUAUAAUAGGAAAAUAAAGGAAAAUAAAGAUAAAGAGUAUAAUAGGGAAAUAAAGGAAAAUAAAGGACAAGACAGGCUUGAAUAGCAAAAGCAUAAGCACUCACAACAAUUAGUUUCCCCUCAUUUUCUGCUCUCUGUGCAACUCUGAUCGCUGCAGCUGUAGCAGCUCCAGAUGAUAUUCCAACCUGCAAUGGUUGUGCCAUAAUCAGCAAUAUAUAAGAAGCUUGGCAAAGAACCACAAUGUCGGAAAUUUCCUUGAGCCUAAACAAUGAAAUGUUGCAAAAUAGAAAGACUCACCAACAACCCUUCUUUGAGAGCAAGUGUUUUUGCCAUUUCAAUUGCCUCCUCACUUGAGAUCUGAUCAUGAUCACCAGCACAUUAAACAAGAACAACAGAAGUUCGAAAAUGAUAUCACGUAUAUAAUGUUAUAAUCUGAAAGGUAUGCAAGAUGUGAUCCAAACUAAGGGCCUGUUUGGCCAGCCUGGAGAUUUUGCAGUAGUGUUAUCUGACCAAAGCCUUUCAACUAAGCACUAAUAGCUAUUUUACUCAAAUCUUCUCAACUAUUUCUUACUGUAGAAAAAACAAGAGCUUCAAAUUAGAGUUUCUGUUUAUGGGGCCCAAAAGUGCAUUUUAGCAUUCGCGACAACAAAAUUUUCAGACUAUUUAUUAGCUAAAGUUAUUUUUUGGAGAAUCUACUUUCUAGAGUAGAGAAGUAGGUCCAAAGCUGGUUGAUGAAAUCAAUAAUGAUUAAUGUGCUAACCAGCCAACCAAAUUUAGCCAAGAAAGGGAACUCAUAAUUAAAUUAAACAAAAAUGAACUUACCUGGAUAACUUCAUCAAGGAGAUGUACAUUCAAAACACCGGGUAUAAAACCAGCUCCUAUUCCUUGGAUUUUGUGCGGACCUGGCAUAUUUGUGAAGCAUAUUAGUAGAAGUUUUUUCAGAACUACCAUCAACAAGAACCAUCCUCUCUGAAGAAAGUAAAUGGAGAAAAAUACUAAAUAUGCUAAGAUGUGAAUAGCAAUAAAUGAACAAAAAAUGGUAGCCAUGAUGGGAAGAAAUAGAUCUUUUAUGUGAAAUGUUAUUACAACUUCAUUUUUCUCCUAGUGUUACCAAAGGCAUCUUGAAAGCGUGUGUAGGUCAUGUCAUGCUAUCAAAAACCGAAGAGACUGUAAAAGCUGGAACAGGAAAAAGGGGGGAAAAACAGAUUUUUAUGUUAAAAAAAACACACUUUUUCAUAGGAAAAGAAAAUUGUUAUUUUUGUAGGGUACAUAAGAGAAUGUCAAUAAAUAUCUGUUUGAAGGAAGAAGACUGAAAGUUGUGUAUACAACAAAGAUAUGUCUACAUCAUCAAAAUAAUAUAGAAUAAUAGAUAGAUGAAGUAUAUAUACAAACUUCUACUAUCACCAAAAUCAAAUAUCAAGAAAUAAGAGUGAGUUUGAUCAAAUGCAAGAAUUCACCAAAAUAUGACAAAAAAAAAAACCUACAUGACAUUGGCGCAAAAAGUCUACCCAUUCCUUUUUCUCUGAUGGCAGAUACAUAAAGUACGAGCAGUGAAGUAGGACCAUGAAUUUUUUGAGCUUAUAAAUAUGUAAUCUUUUUACAAUCAUCCAAAAAAUAAAAAAUAAAAUAAAAGAGAUGUCUACAGCAUAGAAGGCAGUAUGACAGAAUAAAGAGAAUUAUAGGCGGGGUGAGGUUACCAGGUUUUCCCCCAGCUAAGACAGGACUCUCAGCUGGUUCCACCCCGUACAGCUUAAUGGAGGAAACAGAAACCAUAAAAAGUAAAAUGUUAGUUUAAGUGCAAAUUACAAAGGCAUAAAAAGGAGGAAAAUUUAGGAGAGCUCACCUUGAUAUUAGGGUUUUGCUCUUUGAGAUACCUUCCUGCUCCCGUAAUAGUACCGCCGGUACCUAUACCAGCUACUAGGGCAUCAACUUUGCCUGCAGUUCCUUCCCAAAUCUCAGGCCCAGUUGUCUCAUAGUGAAUCUAAAUUACAUUAAAGAAUAAUGGUUAAUUAAAAAAUUUAUUCCCAAAAGUUUGAUUGGAAAUUCAAUUCCAUCAUCUAAGUUUCAAUUGUAACAAUUUAGUUCCUAAACUUUCAGCUCAUUUUUCAAUUUCUUUCUCCUAGUUUCAACCCUUACAAGCUUGUCACCAAAGUUUGAUCCUGGUUUCAAUAUAACCCCUAGAUUUUUUUUUUCUUUUCAAUUUUGCCAAAACAAAGUCUAGAGACAGUACCUAAUCGGACUUAAUUGCAAUGCUGAGUGAUUUGUUACCACUAAAACUAUGAACAAGGAAAUUUUCUGAUUAUCUAAGAAAAUCUAACACUAAUAAUCCCACAAUUACCUUUGGGUUAGCAGGGUUUUCAAACUGCUGAAGGAUAUAAGAGUUGGGCGUCUUUGCCGCCAAUUCCUCUGCCUUUUGGACUGCUCCUUUCAUGCCCAAAGUUGGAUCGGUUAAAACCAGUUCAGCACCAAAAGCCUUAAGAAUGAUCCUUCUUUCAAGGCUCAUUGAAGCUGGCAUCGUCAGUAUGAGCCGAUAACCCUUUGCAGCUGCCAUAAAGGCCAGUCCAAUUCCAGUGUUUCCACUGGUGGGUUCUAUGAGCACACUCUGAAAAGAAAAUAUUCACAAGUAUCAAUCAGGUGUUCCAUGAAAUCUUCCUAUUAGAAUUGUUUCAAGAGCCUGCGUGAACAUCCAAACAUGUCCGUAUGGAGAUAACUUGGCGUUUUUUAUGGUGCUGCGUAGGAGUUUGACUUUAAAUUUUCAAGAUCCUGAUUAUCAUUUUCUCAAGACAAUGCAUUUCAACUACGAGGUGAUUUGUCAUAGUCAUAUCCUUAAUAGCUGGGCUUGCUUGUUCGUUCUCAUGUGACAUCUCAACAACAAACAAAAUAAACAAUCCUAUGAUAGGCAAGAGGAGAUAUGCUAUAUAAGUCACGUAAGCAUUUAAAAUUUACAAAAUUGGUGACAAUUUUCAUAUCUAUGCACAUUUAGCAUUUUAGCUCUGUAAAUAUAUUGUUUCUUAACCCCAAAUCAAACUUCUUCAUAUAAAAGGAAACCAGAAACCCAAAAAAUCUAACCCACUCCUAAUCUUGAAAUUUGACCCAAUUCCAUUCUUUGUUUUGUUGUAAUAAUUAGACUAACAUUCAUAUAAAACCCACACAAAAGUUUAUCAUAAUUUCGCUCAAGAAAAUCAUAAAUUUGUUUUUUCCAAUUCAAAAUCAAUUGAAGCGCAAGAAUUGAGAAAAAAUAUUUGAAAAACCGACCCUCCCAGGUGUGAUGAACCCUCUCUCCUCCGCAUCAGCGAUCAUGCUGUAUCCAAUCCUGUCCCAUUCGAUUCAAACUCAUCAAGAAACUCCCAAACCCCAAGUAAAAACAACAAUAAGAGAUGAUCGAUAGUUAAAAUUAGGGUGUAAUACCUAUCCUUGACGCUGGAACAGGGCUCCAUCAUCUCCAACUUCGCCGCGAUACGCGCGACGCACCCCGUGGUCACAUUGUUGAGGUACACCAACGGGGUUUUGCCGAUCAACUGCGUAUCAACAAAUCGAACACCAAAUGCCAAAAAAAAAACAGAAAAAAAAGAGCUGAUGCAACACAAUCGAAUCCAAAGCGAAGCAAAAAAAGAGGAAAAAACAGGAGAAAAGAAGGGAGAGAACGAUCGAUUCGCACCUCCGUGACGUCCUUGGCGAUCGUGGGAACGGAUUCGUCCAUACUGGAGAAAAAGCGAAAUGAGCAGGAAAAAAAAAAAAAGAAGCGAAGGUUUGGAUAUAGGAGGAAGAGGAAAGAGGAAAACGAAGAGGAGAAUGGUGCGUACGAACUUCUAUGAUCUUCUACGACGAGGGAGACGCAUUAUAUAUAGCGUUACAUUUGCAGAUUAGUAUCCAAUAUUUUAUGGUAUUUUAACCAAGUCCCUUAUUAGUACGUAGGGAAUAGGGAUGCGAACAGGGCCGAUCCGGAUUCCUACCAUUCCGUCCUGUAGUUUGUUGGAUCGGACGGAGUAAAUUUUUAGCAAAUUUUUUACGAAUUAAAACAAAUUAAAGAAAAAAAAUAAAAAUAUGAACGAAACUUAAUUGGUAGUAAUUAAAGUUUUCAAUUCGAAACUUAAUUAUUUGAUACAUCGAGUUCAAAUUUUUUUUAAAAGAAAAUAUGAACGAAAAGAAGAGCAUAUUAAUUUUUUCUAAAAAAAAAAGGAAUGUACCGGUAGGAUCUCUGACCAUCUAGAAUAGUAAUUCGUUCGUUUAACAGCCACCGAUCAAGCUUUUGUUUUCCGGUGGCAUUUAGUUGAGGGGCGUGUUUGUCCUCUUAACAAACUAGCUAGUUAAAUCAAUGUUCACAUUAAAAUAUUAAAUACAACUUACAAAAAUCUCUUGAACUUUAAUAGGAAAGAGACAAAAAAGUUAAGGUAUCAAGUUGUAAUUAUAUUAUGGCUCUGGAGCUACCUGAAAAAUUAACCCUCCACGGCAAUGUGUAAAAAGUAAAAACUAGGCUCUCCCAAGCAAUUGAUCUCCCAGUAUAUAUAUAAAAGAAAAGUUACAACAACUAGUGAAUGGUUAAUGGACUUGCUAAUCAUAAACAGUGCCCAUUAUCUGUCCAAAUCCAUCCGACCAAUAUGGGUCUUUUUGGGUCUAAUAAUAAACAAAUUACAAGAAUAAUGAAAUAUAUAAUAAUUAAAAUAUUUACAAAUUAAAAGAAAAACCUAAAACACGAGAGCUUCGAGACAAAGUUGCAAUAUACCCCUGUUCAUUGCGGCAAGCAAAAUACAAGCUUUCCGAGUUAAAGGUAUCUGUUUCCAAAUAGCCCAGAGUUCAGGUAACCUCUACACAUUUUGAUCUUAUAUAGAAGAGAACUAACCUGGGCUUGAACUUUGAACAAAUACUUGGUAUCCAAGAGAAAUAGAAAAUACAGAGUCAUCAUCGGCAAGCCGAAGAGCAAAGCAAGCAAGAGAGAUAUAUCUAAUAAUUAGCUUUACAUAAUAUUAUAGGGUUUGAAUUUGAUUACAACAUGCUAGUGCCAGCUUAGCAAUAGUUUUAGGUACUCUCCAUAUGUCCAGCAUUAAGUGCCAUAGGAUUAAAACAUUCUCAAAUGCCUCCUCAAUGAAUUACAACCAUUAACAACCGGAGGCAAGAUACAGCAGCUGAUCUAACUUAAUAAGAACUAACCAAGCAUCUAAAUUAAAAGCACACACAACAAACAACCCUACCCUUUUUUAGUUUUAGUCAGUCGCUACAACAAAGACCGUUCACUUAAGAGACAGGGUUAUUAGAAGUAGUAACUAAUAGGCCAUCACUUACCGAUAAUAUACCUGCUGAAACGCCGGCGCGAAACCAUUGCUGUAACCCCCAUAAGCUGGAUAGCUCAUAGGAGGAGAAUGAUACGGCACGCCGAUAGGAGUGUUGGAUAUCUCUUCGGUUGGGUAUGCAUACGGCUCCCGCAUAGCUGGUGGGCUUCGGCUCCCAUAAAUGCCGGGGCCUGCGGGGCGAUCAUAAGGAUAAUGGGUUGACGACGGUGAGCGCACGAAGGUGGGAGGGGGGGCCUGGGGAGCUGGGAAAGAGGAAACAUAGGCAUUGGUAGUUAGACGGCCAGCCUUGGCAGGAGGCAUCGGUCCCCCGUUGUUCGCCCUAGUUCGUUUUGCGGCAGGAGCGUUGUUUGAAGAAGGGCUGCUGCUGCCCCCAGCUGGCUUCUUCUUCUCAGCCUUGGCCUUCUCUAGGUUCUCAAGACGCUUCUGAAGGCCCUCCAAGGGGAACUCUGCCUCAAGCUUGUGGUCCUCAAUGCAUUUCAUGACGGCACGGAUAGCUGACUGUUGUUUCCGAUUGGCAUUGUUCUGUUGAGGCAAAAAAAAAAAACACCAUCAAAGCCACUGCCUUGUGAAAAGAGAAGAAAAGUUUUUUAAAAAAUACGUAUUGGAAGGUUAGCUAGCAAACACCGUAAAAGUCACUGCCUUGUCAAAAAUGUUCUAAGAUGUACUUAGAUCAAACAUAUUGGAAGGUUAGCUAGCAAAACCAUGCUUUGUAAAGUUCAGGUCCCAUUUCAAGAUACGUUUUUAAUUACUGAAAACAGGAAUAAAAGAACCUUUAACUAUAACUUCACAUAAAUAAAAUACAAAUGGUCUUCCAAUAAAAAAAGGGCAGAAGGAUUUAAUGGGUCGAGAGUGCCCAAAAGAAGAAAAAAGAAAAAAAAGGUCAAAUUUACCACCAAAAAAAUGGUGCAACUGAGAAGAAUGAGAGGCAACAAAAAUUGAAAGUACUAACGCCACAAACAAACAUUCUAAGAAAGCAUAUUUCAGUAGAUUGUUCAGUAACAGCAAUAGAAACUAAAGAUGAUACUUGUUCAGUCUCAACUUACAGUGGCUCAUGUUCAUACAACAUCAGAAUAGUUAAUCUACAUACCACAGCUUGCCCGGAGUUGUUGUUAUCCUCUGAGUUCGAAGAUUGGAACUUUUUUGAGUCUUUCAAAAAGGAUUUCAGCAGAGGAACAGGGGGGAACUUGUCCUGAAGACCAGCCUCAUAUGCGAAAUUAACAGCAUCCAGAUGUUGUCCCUUGGCAAUAAGUUCCUCGAUUAUAUCUGCAAAUUGACGAAACAUUUGUAAUGAAGCACCUAAACAAGUAGAAGAAGAGUUUGCACAUUGACAUCUGGAAGUAGCAUGAAUAUUUCAGAAAGAGCAUUCUUCUCAGGCAUUUAAUUCAAACUAGAGAAUCAUACAUAAAGUCUGCAGAUAAAGGGAAGGGGAAGUAGGUUAGAAUGCUUCAGACAUAAUCUGCCCUCAAAUACUGCCUUGCACAAAAUCAACCUUAUACUCUGAGUACUUAUAUUGAAGAUCCUUACCAUUAAAGAUGAUCUUGAAGAGGUGGGCCGGCAACACUUUAAAAUAACAUCACGAAAUAUUUGGAGAAUUUAGAGAAGGCCAGUUCUUUAUGUGUGUUUAUGUGUGUUUACUCAGAUAUUUGUAGGAGCUUAAAUAACAACUACUAUUCAGUUCCAGAGAAUGCCAGACCAUACUAAAUGCAUUCAACAAGUGGGUACAAUUUCUGAGAUCUAUAACUUUCGUUUAGAAGUUCUGAAAAGCCUAAAAUGUUAUGCAAGCAACCAACCUACCUGAAGUGCCAAUGAAGUAGACACGUGAAUAUGUAAAUGCAUUUGUAUUGACUGCAAUCCAUAUAUGACAUGAUUUAUGUAUUUCAAAUAUACUGGAAAUGUACAUACAAACAUUCAAAGGGCCCAAAUAAAGGGUCCAAGAAGAAAAUCAAAUCUAUGCUGUUCUAAAAGAUCCAAUAGAGUAUAUCAUAUCAUAAGACAUUAGAAUGUAAUACCACAAUUACAAUUCGAACAAGACAUCUGAUCUUUAAAACAUUAAAAAGCAAAAAGUAUUAAGGGGCUGUUUGGUUCAAGGUUUGUAAUGUUCCGAAAAUAUUUUAUAUUUAAUUUUUGGAAUGUCAAGCUUGUUACUAAUUUAUCAAGCCGCGUGGGUUGGGACUUGGGAGGGUGUUAGGAGUUAGUAUAUUCUUAUUAAUGGACUACUAAUGAUUCCCAUGAAGUACGAAAAUUAGAAUACCGCCUAAUCUAUGAUAAUCUAGUAUUAAUACCAUCUAGGAACUUAUGAGGAUUCCACCACUUCACUAACACUCUUUACAACUACCCAACUUGGGUUGACUGGUAACAAUUUGAAUAAUUUCAAUAGAAAAUAUGGAAGAUUACUAGAAUAUUAUAAACCUUGAACCAAACGGGCCCUAAGAUCUACGUAAACAAUUUGAUGUCCACGAGUUUAAGUAGCUGAUUAUCAAAUGCAAUACAUACUGAUAGGUAGCUAUGGAAUAAAUGUUAGGGCGAUAACGGAUAUCUCGGGAGCAAUCUAGGGAGUGGUCCUCUUCAUUAGGGAUGCAUGUGCUACACUUUAGAAGAGCGGUCAUCUCGAUUUGGAUUAAUCGUGAAUGAUACAACCCAAACAAACAACAAUCAGCACAAAGCAAUAAGUUUAACCAAAAUGCCUUUUGCACCCUAAAAAACACAUUACAAUCAACUGACUUACAAUAGUAAAUCCCAUUUUACCAGUUAUUACUCGGGCUACCACUGGGUCUUACAUUUUUGGGACAUUUCAACAGGCUUAAAUUAAUUAUACGACCGAGCAAGCAUGAUGAAGGAAAAAAAGAAAAUUAUCAAAAGAGUCCUACCACCAAUACCAUUUAAGGCAUCGAUGAUCAUCAACCAAGCUGAUUGCAUAUGCUGACACGUCGAAAGAACAGGUUUAAUAGCACUAUCAGCAGUAUUAGUAUGAGCAAACAAUAUCAAAAAUCGAAAUUUUAUAGAUAGGUUUCAUAAAGGAAAGAAAGAAUUUCAUAUACCAGUCAUUCUAUCCUCAAGCCCCAGAGUGAGGGCCAGCUUCGGCAUCUGUCUCCUCCACGAGAAGCUCACGACAAUCUUUUCGUACAAUUCCCUAUCCUCCUUUGCGGCGAUCCCAAAGGUCACAACAUGCUGGGCGAAGGCGUGAGCAUCCGCAGGCUUAGCACUCUCUAUCCCACCACGCUGAUCCAAACCUUCCUUCCACCCCUCCGCCAUUUCCUUCGCUCUCUCCUUCAUGUCACGAGUCACCAGCGGCCUCACCGCGCCGAGCUCCGGAUCAGCUAAGGAGGGGACGAGAGAUUCGAGAAUAAGCACACAAGCCCACCCCAGAUCAGUCGGCGACUUCACCUCCCUUUUGUCGACAGGGAAAACCCUAGAAAUGGCGUCUAGAACGAAUCUGGCCGGAUCUAUGCAGCCGGCGAGGGCCAGCGGGAUCUCCGAGCGCAGGAGCUCCGCCUCCUUCCGCUUCGACACGACGAGAUCUAGGAAACCCUCGGAAUCCAUCUUCGCGCAGAGAGAUCGGAGGCUCGCGGGGAGAUCGGAGGCGGCGAGCGCUUCGAGGGCGGCGGCGCGGCGCUCGUCGAGCUUGGAGAGGGCGAGGUCGACGGCGGCGUCGAUCGAGAGCUCGCGGCGGCGGAGCGAGUCGAGGGCGCGCUGGGCCCUGAGGUCGAGGGACCGGCGCUUGGAGCGGAGCGACUCGGAGCGCUCCUCGAGCCCCCGCUCGAGGGACGAGAAGUGCUCCGAGAGCUCCUUCCACAGCGCCGUGCAGCUCGUGAUCAGCUCCCGCUGCCGCUCCAGCUCCUCGAAGCUCUCCCGCACCUGCGAGCUCGUCACCGCAGCGGCCGCGGCGGCGGCCGCCGAAGCCAUGGACGCAGCACGACGAUCUCGGCUCUCUCGCGAUGCGAUCGCUUGAUCCAGAGAAGGGAGGAGAAACCCAAACCCAAACCCUAACCCUAACCCUAACCUUAUAUAUAUGCAUAUCGGGACUAAACUUUUCGUUUAUAUACGCAAAUCCUACUCUAAUUCGUAUCGUACGGAAGGAAGGAGGGAGCCAAUAGAGGGAGACCACGUGGCGGGCGCACACUGUAAAGGCGAAAGAGCGGGAGUAGGUUAUAACUUAUAUAUAUAUAUGAGACCGGUAAAAUAAGAAAAUGGGAAUAAAAGGUAUUGGAGUGGGUGUGGUCACUACCGGUGAGGAGAACUUUUUGUCGCGUUCAUGAAGACAUUUUAUUUUAUUUUAUAGAUAAUUGGGUAAAAACUUAAAUUUGUUUUCUGUGGCCUUAGCAUGUUACCCUUUUAGUUGUAAUCAAAAGUUUUAAAAUAUUUGUAUUUAUUAUUAACUAUUGAGAGACUUUAUUUUUGUUUUUCAACCAUAACUAUUGGUUUAGAAGGACCAAAUUUCCAAUUGAGCUUAAUCAAUAACGGAAUGUUGCAUUGAACCGAGUCAUAUUCGAAGUGGUGGGAGGUUAGUUUGACCUAAUCACAAUUAACGAAAAAUCUAUGUGGAGUAUCUAAAGUUUUAUAUAUAUAUAUAUAUAUAUAUAUAUAUAAUUUAACGAAAUAUUAACGAAAAAGUUGACGAAAAAAAUAAAAAUAAAAUCAUAGAACACUAACUUCAUACACUUCAAACAACAAGGCACUAAAAUGAGAAAGUGCGAAACUACGGGGGUGUGUUUGAAGUUUACCCAAAAUUGGGUGCCGAGUCGCAAUUGCGGAGAGGUACAGGGGUGGGGUUCAGCAGCGACAAAGGUGAAGAGGAUUAAUUGGUUAGCGAUGGUUUUGUUUUUUAGUUCUUUAUUAAAGGAGAAAAUAAGUAGUGAUACUUUUAUUAAUGUUAAUGUUUAAUAAGAACAUAUAUGAAAUUUAUCUAUGGACCAUUGUUAAUUGGCUACUCAAAAUUUUUUAAAAUUUAAUUUUAUUAUCUAAUUAUUCAAUUUAUUUGAUUUGAAUCGGUCAACAAUACUUUAACUUCAAAAUAUAAUUAAUCUAAUUACUUACUUUAGUUAAUCUAUAAUUUUAAAAAUUACAUGAAAUAAUAUUAAAGAUCAUUAACAUAGUCAAAUUAUUUUAAAAUUAAAAUACGGUUAAUUAACUCAAAUCAAACAAAGUUUAAAUAUUAGAUAGUAAAAUUAAAGUUUUAAAAAUUAAAUAAUCAAAUUAAAAUAUUAUAAAAUUCAGAUAAAUUCUAUAAAUUUUUAUUUUAUUUUUUUUUUUAAAAGAGAGAAUUCUAAUUGUGGCUAGCAUUAUGGGUUUUAAUUUUAUUUUUAGGUUAAUGUUUAUUUUUUCAGUAUGAACGGUCUUAAUUUCUUUACCAACCAAUUAUAACCGGCAAUAGUAGGUAUUUUGUUUUUGGGUACCGGUUAGGUGAAAUAUAUAAAAGGUAGAAUUGACCUGAUGUAAAAGAAUAUAAAAAAAAAGUUAAAAAUUACUCCCUACACCGGGUGUACUAACAUAUCAGUACACUGCUCCUGUGUUAACUCUUCUUCCCAUCAUAUAUUUUGAUCCAAUCAUAAAAGUUUUUAAGGAUAAAUUAUACCUUUGGUCCUCAAAUUAUGUGAUGCAGGAUACUUUGGUAAUCAAUCUUUAAUCUAUUAUAAUUUUUAGCUCAAAAUUUUAAAUUAUUAUAAUUUAAUUUUAUAAUUUAAUUUAAUUGACUAGAAGAUGUGGACAAUUUAUUAAUGUAAAAAAUUAAGCUUUAUGGGUGAGUAACUGAAAGAAACUACUUUUUUCCAUUAUGAGUUUAUGACCAUCGGAUGAUUUAGUUACAUGAUAAUAAAGUAUGAACGCAAAUAUCUUGCUUUAAAUACUUAUGUUAUGUAAUUAUAUGUCAGCAUAAUGACUUUUUCUUUUAAUUAUUAUGGAUGAGAAUAUUUUUAGAAAAAAAACAAAAAAAAAAGAAGCAAAUGAGCAACAUUGCUUUUCAAAUUUUAAUAUUUUAUAGUUAAUAUUGCUUCCAAAAGUUUUGAGCUAAAAAUGGGAAUUAGAGUAAUGUCUAACUAGUGUAGUAACCGGACGUUGCGGCGGAUAGAUACUAUUAAAAUAAAUUUAAUAUUUAACUAAUAUAUUAAAAAUUUGUUAUUAUUUUAAAAAUCAAAAUAGUCCAAACAUAUUGGAUUCCUGCAAAAAUAUAUUAAUUUGCUGAAGCCGAUUAAUAACAAAAUGCUCAAGAUAAUAAGCAUGUCAACCUAUUAAGCCGAAAAGCGACAAACUAUGUAGGAGAGAUUUAAAUAAAAAAUUCAAUAAAAAGUAGUAUUUUAUAAAUCAAAUCAAAACAAUUAAAGGGUAAAAUUUUUUUUGUGUAAGUUAUAUAUUUAUCCCUUCAUUUUCUAUAUAAGUUAUGAUACUUCAAGAAAAUAAAAAAAUUUUUAGAUCAUAUAUCAAUCUAAUUUUGUAAAUAUUCUUAUAUUAGUUAAUAAAAAGAAUCAUGGAAGUAGAAAAAAAGUAAACAUAUUAAAAGUUAUAUAAUAAAUAUUUAAGAGACAAAAAAAAUAUACAACCUAAUGCAAUCUAAUACAGCAAAUAUAAUACAGAAUUUUACUUUCGAAAAAAAAUAUAAAAAACAAAGGAUAGAAAAAGAAAAAGUAAUAAACAUUCAACACAACAAACACAUUAGUUCGAAUACCAUACAAAUAAAAAGAACUUGAAAAAACUUAAUAAAACUAUCUAAAAAAUUUCAACGCUACAACAUAAAGAAUAUAUAUAUACAUAUAUAUAUAUCUUUUAAAAGAACUUAUAAAAUUUGGAGGAAGGCUCGAUUUGGUGAAGAUGCAGCGCCAAGCUCGGCGAUACAGCGUGCAAACUCAUACUUCGUCUAUAGAACGUGCUCGAUUUUGGCCUCGGAGCUCAUGGAGGAGAAAGAGAAAGUAGGAAGGAGAGAAGGGAGCUUUUUGUGGAUUUUUAUGAUUUACAGUUUAGAUUAGGGUUAAGAUGAGUGGACCAUUAAUUAAACGUUAUGUGUGGAGGAAAUGCAAAAAGUUAGAUUAAGGUGGGUGGACCAUUAAUUAAACGCUAUGGAUGGAGGGAAUGAGAAGGGAAUGAGAAAGGUUGGGUUAAGGUGGGUGAACUAUUAAUUAGACGUAAUGGAUGGAGGGAAUAAGAAAGGUUGGGUUAAGAUGGGUGAACCAUUAAUUAGACGUUAUGGAUGAAGGGAAGGCGAAGGAUUGGCUUCGUAAUAUGAAGUCUAAAAGUAAAGAAAACACAGCCAUGUGGCACUUCUUGUAUAGGUAUAGAGGUAUAGAUAGAUAUAGAUAUAGAUGUUUGGUUGGAUAAUAUUUCAUUUCAAAUUUUAUGCGAGGUAAAAUGAGAAUCUUCUAAUUUCCCCACUUCAAGCCCAACAACAUGGAGGGAAACUUUAUUCUCCAGGAUAGAAUGAACAAUUUUACAGUCAAAUCCUAUUACUGCAGGAACCAAAUAAAUUGGGAGAAUCAUACCGCUCCCACUACAAUUGUAAGCCAUCUUGAAUUCAAUUCCAAUUUAGAUUCCUCCAAAAAUCAUCAUGGAAAAUUACUUUUCGGGGACAACAAAGUUUUCCAUCGAAAAGAGAUUUUUCAUAAUUUUUAUUUUCUAGAUUAAAAAAUCUGGAAAAUAAAAAGAUGAUUUUUGCAUUAUUCCUAUAACAACUAAGUCCACUAAUACUAGUAUUGAGCUCAAAGUACCAGCACAAAAUGCCUUUAGUUCCAUUAUUACUAAUAGAAGUCUAAGGAGUACUAGGGCAUCACAAAUCUGGAAAUAACAUUUUCAGAAAAAACUACUUUGCUAAAAAAACUAAGGGCUAAGCAAAAAAUAUUUAUGAAUAUUUUCUGAUAAAAAAAACAGCCCCUAAGCAAAUCAAACAUGGCUAUAAAUUUCAUUGCAAGAAUAGCAUUCUGCUACAACAAAAACAGAAACCUCAUUUUGGAGCAUCUGUUACACAAUAUCAGAAGCUUGUUUCUGCUUGCUGUCAUAAUAGAAGCUCCUGAUUUUGCAAAAAUUGAUGAUAUCUAAGAUAAAAGCAAAAAACAAAAUCAUCCUUGCAUGAGCAAUACUGCCUGUACAUCCAUAGACUAGAUAAAAAUCUAAUAUCUUACUCAUCCAAAGGCCACUGUUUACCUAAUAAUUUUAUCAACUUCAAUUUUUUAAUACUAAGAAGCUAAAAGGAUUUCAUGAAUCCUAGGAUAAGCAAGGCGUAAGAUUUAAACCUAUAUACAAAUGUAUCUGUGUUUGGUCAUACUUGCUAAAUAAAUUAAUUAAUUAAUUAUAAAAGAAUAACUUUGUCAAUAUUGCGGGCAUGUUUUCACUCUUUCUGGAUAUGUAAUGCUCGCUCAAUCUUAGUUGAUGAUCCUUUUAAGACAAAGGAUGUGAUUAAGUAGUCUUGCCAGCAGAGCUAAGGGACUGUUUGGUUCGUUGUAAAACUAUGGAAAAAAAAUUUUCGGUGGAAAAAAAGUUUUCGGAGGAAAAUAAAUUUUACACUCUAAGUGUUUGGUUUGUAGGAAAAAAAAGUAGUUUUCCGUUACGGUUGUUUGGUUGAAAGGAAAAGAAAGAAAAAGAAGAAAAAAGUUAGUUACAAAUAAAAAAAUUAUUAUAUAUAUAUUUUUAUUUUAAUAUAUUAUUAAUAUAUAAUAAUUAUCAUAUUACAUAUAUUAAUAUUAUAAUUUAUAUUUGUAAAUAAAAUAUAUUUAAAAUAUAUUAUAUAAUAAUUUUUUUUUAUAAAAAAUAAUAUAUAUAUNAUAUUAUAAUUUAUGUUUGUAAAUUAAAUAUAUUUAAAAUAUAUUAUAUAAUAAGCAUAAUAUAUAAUAUAAUAGUAUAUAUAUAUAUAUAUAUAUAUAUAUAUAUAUAUAUAUAUAUAUAUAUAAAAGAGGGGCAGAGAGAGAGGUCCAUCACCUCACGCGCGGUCCACCUCGACCUCGUCGACCUCGCUUUUUUUCUCCCGCGAGGCAUGCGCAACUCUGCACGAGGUCCAUCAUGGACCUUUCUCACGCGGUCCACGAGGUGGAGUGGACCUCGUGGACCGCGCCUUUUUUUUCCCGCGAAGCGCGCGCAAAGCCGCGCACAAGGUCCAUCAUGGACCUUCCUCAUCGUUCCCCCAGGCGGCGUGCGCAACGCCGCAUUGUAAAAAAAAUUUUCCGGAAAAUUUUUUUUUCGAGACACCGAACACUGGAAUCCCAUUUUUCAGCCGAAAAAAAAUUUUUAGAGUGAUUUUACGAGGAACCAAACACAUCCUAAUCAGUAUGUUGCAAUUAGGAAAAAUGACUUCCAGCACAGUAAGAUUCUUAGCAACCUAUUCCACUGUAAUCUAGUAAUAAGUGCUACACAUAUUAAUAUACUUUUUUAAUUAUUUCUAACAAAUCAGAGAUACAAAUUUCGAGUCAGAAUUUUAUUUCUAUCUAUCACCGCGCUAUACCAAACGCUGUAGUAAAAGCUUCAGGUUUUUUAUGCUCCCUCACUUGUUUGAUAGAUUUUGUUGUUGAAAUCGAGCCCAAGUAGAUCCAAGAUGUAUAACAUUAGAAGGUGAUAAUAGUUCCAUUUAGAAUAACAAUUUAUAGACUUAAAAAAUUUUAUGUUCAAUAUGUUUCGAUAAACAUAUUACAUCCAUGAGCUUACAUGGGUUUGAGUCACACCAAAACAUCGCUUCAAGACCAAUAUAUGACAUUCAUAAGCUCGCGCGGGUUUGAGUUGUGCCAAAACAUUGCCCCAAUACUAAUAUGGGUUUGAAUCUGACGAAAACUCUUCCUCCAAUUAGUAUUGGAGCUGUGUUUUAAAUAUUUAUAUUCAAGAGAAAUUAAUACCGAACUUGUUCUCUCCAAUUUUACCUUAUAUAAUCACAAGUUAACAAUCCACGGCAAAAUAGAACUCAGAGCAACAUUACAUAUGCACGUAGCUAAUUAAUCAAUUCCAAGAUCAGUAAACAACAACAACAACAACAACAACAACAACAACAAUCGAGAGUAGCCAAUUCAAAUAGCUACAUAUAUACUCAAAAAUUAUUAUUAUUCGAAUGAAAUGCGGAGCAACAUGAUACACAUAGCAGGAAAACUAAUCGAUCUACAUUACUGACCAUGCUAAUGCUACAGGGCAAAGAACAACUCGAUCAUCCCCGAAAAAGGAUCGAACAAAUUAGGGUUGGUUUCAAACUGAGGAGAGGGGGAUUAGGGUUUCGUACCCAUGUCAGUCGUUGGCGGUGGCGAGCUGGAGCGAGAGGAGCUCGUCCUCGGGGAUGGUGCGGAUGCGGCAAUCGGAGCGGGGGUAGGAGGCGCAGAGGAGGGCGUAGCCGCGGGCGACGACGUCGUCGGAGAGCAUGCCCUCGCUCUGGUCGACGGCGCCGGCGAGGAGGCGCGCGGGGCACGUCAUGCACACGCCGAGCUUGCAGUCGUGGGGCACGGAGAGGCCCUCCUCGAGCGCCCACUCCAGGAUCGUCUCGUCCGGGGCCACGUCUAGUGUUUGGACCGAGCCCUCGUGCUCGAUCGUGACCUUGUAGGAGGAUGAGGAGGAGGAGAGGGGAGGGGCGAGGGUGCGGCGAUGGAGGCGGAGGAGGGUGAGGGGGCGAUGGAAGGGGCGGCGGUGGUGGUGGAGGAGGAGAUGGGUGGGGGAGGAGAAGGGGAGGAGGAGGGAGGAGGAGGACAUUGGAGGGUUUGUGGUUGGGUUUUGAGAGUGGAGUAGGAGAAAGGAAACGAAGAUGAGAGGAGAUGGAUAAGGUGGGUUUUUCUUUUUCUUUAAAAAGAUUAUGAAUAAAAAAAUAUGUGAGUAUAAGUUAAAUUAUAGACCACGAAUAUCCGUAUAUAUUUUUUAAUUUAAAAAUANCUUGUACUCUCCCUAUGACCAAUAUUACAAUAAAGAAUUUAAAUUCUCUCUUAAAUACAUUUUAUAUGACAAAUUAGGCCUCGAAACUUUCACGCUAAGUUUCAAUUGAGUCCUUAACCUUCUAACUAUCGUAACUACGCCCUCAGCCUUUUACCCAAAAUUUUAAUUUAGUUUUUAACCUUCUAAAUGUUGUAGUUUAGGCCCAUAACCUCUUUGAAUAAUAUUAAUUUGGUCCUUUCCAUCAUAUUCUUCAUCAUAAUCUUCAUUAAGGUGGAUGAAACAUGCCGCUUCGGCAAUAAUGUAGUACAAUAAAUUUUAAAUACUAAUAUCUUACAAAUUCAAAUAAUAAAUCUUAUGUAUUAAAAGGUGAAAAGGCCACUUAGCAAAUUCAGUUUAAUAUAGCAAAGUUUUUGAUAAAAAAAAUCUGAUUGAGCUGACUAUAAAAUAUUGCAAACACAAUUAGAACUUGGAUAGAAGAUUAAGAAUCUGAUUGUAAUAAUUAAAAAGUCUUCAGUAGAAACUUGAAUAAGAAGUUACAACCUUCCGCAUAAUUUAUUUCUAUAUUUUAUACAGAUUAUGCUCUACUAGUGUAAUUCUAAAAAAAUUUUAUAAUGUUAUUGGUUUGAAACAAACUUGAUCGGUCCAAAUGAUAUAAUGAAAUGCUUUCCUUACAUCACAGUGUGAUUUAUAAAAUCAUUUUAUUACUUACAGAACCAAACAAAAAUAUUUGUUGAUUACAUUUGCUCUAUGCACGGUCUCCCAAAUUGAACUUCAAUCCUUGAGCUUUCUAAUAUUUUGCAAUUGCAACUCAGUUUAAAAUUUAAAAUUUUAAUUUUUAUAAAUCUUUCAGUUCAAUGUUUAUCUUAAAUCUUAAAUGAUAAACAAUUGCCUGCCCCAUUUGUGUCCUACAAAUCAAAUAGCCUUUUAUUCAUUCAAUACUUUUAAUUAAUUGAUACUCCACAAACGCCCUCCCACACCCCUUUUGGUUAGUGUAUUUUCAAUACUUCACAUUAUUGUUCAGAUGAUUAUACUUGACUAUUUUUUUUUAUUGGGUUGUAAGGAUCUACGUUAAAUAUAAUAGUAAAGUGACAUUUUAUUUAAGCUCUAAUUGUAUAUCAUUAGAUGAAUCAACUAAGAUUCGAACUUGGGAACCUCAGAUACCAACCAUUAAGCCCUUUGCCACUUGCGCUAGAAACGGUCGGUAUCAUAAGUUCUUUAAAAAAUAUUAUUUGCUAUCUUGCUUGAUGAUAGAUACUGAAAUUAAAUUGUAGAGUAUAAAUAUAACAUUUUAAUGUAUGGUGUUUACGAGAGAUAACUUGCUGAAAAGGGACCGGCACGGGAAGGAUGAAUGUGUUUUCUGUAGGGCGGAGCUAGAGUCCGUAGAUCACCUCUUUGUGGGAUGUAAUACAGCCAAACUUUUGCAAGAGGGUCAACUACCGGACAGGAGGUUUAUACACAAUUGCUCUUCGGUGAAUAGGCUUUGGAAUGUAAGCAGCUCCAAAGGUGGGGCCUUAGGGGGUAGAGAGUUAGCUACAAUUGCCUCGGCCUGGUGGUCUACUUGGUUGGAGCGUAACAGAAGAAUCUUCGAAAAGAAAAAGAUCAUCUUGAGUCAGCUUGUAGCAAACUUACGCUCACUUCGUGUCCUUUGGGACUCUUUCUGCCCGUAGCUCUACUUUUUUUUUUUUUUACUAUUUUUUUCUCUCACUUUGACGAGGCCUGAUUGCCUCAUUUUGUAGCUUAGCUCAUAUUCCAAAUGAAUGAAGUGGUAGCUAACUAUCCAUUUUUCAAAAAUUUUUUUUUUUUAAACUAUAAGGCAGUAGUGAAAAUAUGCUAAAACAUGUAUGGCCAAAUUGAAGAGUUUCUUUUUUAACAGUAAAUAAAGAAGUGUUAAAGUAUUUUUUUUUAAAAAAAAAUUAACCUAUUUAUUUUUAAUGUUAAAUUAAAUUUAAAUAUUCGGGAACCUCAAAUAGCGACUCACAGUCACAGACCGACCCGAAAAAUAAGGCCCUGUUCGGGUCCAGGUCAAUCCACCCGCUAACGCUCUCCCCUUACAUACCCCCCCCCCCCCCCCCCUUCUUCAUCCAUCUCCACGACCGGAAGUCCCGUUAUUAUUACUGCUCCACCUCUCGCGAUCUCGUAAUGUCACUUCCCUCUUCCUCUUCCCUCAGAAACCCUUUCCCCUCCUCCUAGUUCGAGCUCUAACAAACCCUAAUCCUCCUCGUAAACCCUCGAUCUCUCACUCUCCUCUCGCUCGGAUCGGAGGAGCCGAAACCCUCGUCGGAGCGAGGAUGGCGUUCAUGCCGGUGCUCGAAGCCGAUCUCCGCGCCCUCUCCGCCGAGGCGCGCCGCAGGUACCCCGCGGUGAAGGACGCCGCGGAGCACGCGAUCUUGAAGGUGAUUGAUCCCUUUCCUUCACUCGGAUCUCCACUCUGAUCUGUUUCUUUCUUGCUUCCUUCCUUGGUAGAUUCGUCCGAAUUCGAUGCGAUUGGUAUAAUUUUGCAUGGUCAUGUCGAAUCUUGCUUUUCUUGAUCCGUUUUGGUUGUGAAUUGUGGUGGGGUAAAAUGUUGCAAGAUCCGCAGUAAACUUAUUUGCUUAGUUAUUUCGGACAAGCAAGAGAUCUUCUUGAAAUUUGAUAGUUUCCACUAUAAGACAGAGCGCCUGUUUUGGAUGCGUGAACAUCUUUUGUGUACUAAAGAGCAUGCAGUAAUCGAUAGAUUGGAAGCAUGAUUAGAUGUUUACAAGCUCUUUACAUCAUUUUCUUGCAAUAAGAUCGCCUUGUAGAUGGCAUUAUCCUAGAAAGGUCAUGAAAUGCCAGAACCUUGCAAUGGACCAAAAGCAAACUUGCAGGCACAAUGACACAAGAGAGUCUCCAUGAAGCACGAGUUAUCACCAAAUAACUUGUUCGAACAUCCUAACAGACGCUAAUCGAUUUUGUUGGUAGAGUAGGAGCCUUUUUCUUUCAGUAUAUAAUCAACUGGAAUUGCUGGCUAAACAUAGUGAUGGUGGUUAGCUUGCCAAAUAUCGAGACUGCUAUUUCUGUCUCUUAUAAGUUAUCACUAAAAAGUGUAAACUGAUACCAUAAAUAUCUCAUAGUUUGAAAUGGGCACCUGAAGUUUGGAAAUUUUUUAUUUUACUAUUCAACCUUACAGGUUUUCUAGAUUUCAAGUAGGAUAUUUCAUCAAGUAACAAAAUUCUUCCAAAUAAGUUGAGAGCACUAUUAAGUUUUGAUGGAGACGUAUUUAAUCGAAAUCACUCUUAAGGAUAGGUAGUUAAGUCAAAAUAUCUCAAGUCCAGGUACUUAUCUCAAAAUGUGGUAUAGUUCAGGUAAGGUCUAUAAAUUUUUGCUUUUUCUCCCCACCAUUAUGAAAUUAAGAAUAAAUACUUGUAUUUUUGAUAUAAGAAUGUUCUCUUCUCUCUAGUUACGUUCUUUGUCCAGCCCGAGCGAAAUUGCGCAAAAUGAAGAUAUAGUGCGGAUAUUUCUGAUGGCCUGUGAUGUUAAAUCAGUAAAACUGAGUGUCAUUGGGCUCUCUUGCUUGCAAAAGCUCAUAUCACAUGAUGCGGUGGCAUUGUCAGCUCUGACAGAGAUACUUUCCACGUUGAAAGACGUAAGUUUCUCAUCACAUCUGCAUCCAAUAUGUAGCUAGAUAAAGAAACAAUUAUGAAUUAUAAAAUUUGAUUUGUAAUGCUAGUAUCUCAUACUUCCAUUUCAACAGCUGUUUGUCUAAAAUUUUUGAACUUUAUAUUGAUCUUUCACAUGAGGAGAAAACAUUUAAUCUACAGCUGCCAUGUAAUUUUACAAUACUAUUUUCAUUGUAAUUAGAAUACAUAAUCUUUAACUUAUAAUUGUAAUUUUAUUUAGCAUGCAGAGAUGGCUGAUGAGAGUGUUCAACUCAAAACCUUGCAAACUAUACUGAUCAUAUUUCAAUCCCAUUUACAUCCAGAAAACGAGGUAAUAGACUACGUUUUUGCACGUUGUUGUCAAGGGACGACUUUAAUAUUCUUAUGCUCAGUUGGUUCUAUUUUUGAGUCCUUUUACCCAAAUUGCAUGGUCACACAAACAACAAAUAUAAGCCUUCAGCCUGACUAUUGGAUUCCUAUCAGGAACUAAAAUUUUAGAAUGAACUUCUUGGGGUUGCCAAAUAAUAGAUUAAAACAUUAUGAUGUUACAUGUCUAUCUAAUGGUUGUAGGUGCUAAAAUACUGUUGUAUUUGGUUUGCAAAUUAAAAGAUUAGAUUCUUCUAUUAAUUUGUGCUCAAAAGUUCAAUUUGGGAACGGCCCAAAUGGUUGAGCUGGACAAAUGGGACCUUCUCACUUUGGUUACUGUAGGUUUUGGGUCGGUGUUUGUUUUGGUUUAGACGAUGGAAGUCAAUUUUUCUUGUUCAGUCUGAUUUUCUCCCAGAAACUGAUCAAAUGGACUUAGUGCACAAGAUAGAUGGCAAUUAGCUAUUUGGAUUGUUGAUUUAGAUGCACUAUAACAUGUUAUUCCAAGGUAACAUCAUGGUCAUCUCCUUCUUAUUACACUGUUGUCUUUUUUGGUGUCAAAUGUGUAAGUAUCAUCUGUAGUUCCUGCAGCAGUGAGUACUAUUAUUGAUACUCACCUACUAGAGAUGGCUUUCAGAAGGGUAUUCUUCUGGGCUUCGAAUGAAAGCUCUCAUAGUGUACCACAAAGUAAAUUGACAAUUGAGUUGUUAGUGUUAUUUGGUAUUUACAUGUUUUCUAUUGUUUCAACCUUGCAAAUCUUGGGUUUUUGCAACUAUUUUGUCGAAGAUUUCAAAUCCUGGUCUGAGUAAAUUAAUAAUUUUUGCAAAUUGCACAGUUUACUAAUUUUUCAGGUAUUUGUUUUCUUAUUUGUGCGGACCAUAAAGUAUAGCUACAUAUAUAGAAAAAAAAUCAUUUCUUGAAGCUUAACAGGAUACAAAAAUCGAGUGGAUUUCUGUUGCCGCUUUCAAUAUUCUUUUCUACAGCUUCUAUUUCUUGCUAGUAGGUGAACUAUUUGCAUUUCAAAUGACGAAUUAAUCAGUACAAAUCUUGUAUAAGGAAAUACACCAUUGACAUCACCCACGAGUUAUGACCUAGCUAUUAAAUAUUAUUUUCUUUCUAAAAGAAAAGAAAACUGCUUUAAACAGCUUUUGCUACUUGUUCCUAGCAAACCGUUAUAUCACUUUCCUCACACAGACCGCAGGGUGUGAACGGUGAGUAGUGGGCCAAAACGGACUAGUAGCAUAUCCACAAUAAACAAGAACAUUCCAAUGAACAAUUACGAGGAUAAGAAACAAACUAGAUAGAAGAAAUGGAAGAAAGGGAUAGGAGACCUGGAUGAAAUGAGAGUGGAUAGAGAAGAGGGAAGGAAGAAGAUUCUGAUGAAAUAUGACUAACAUAUUCCACCAAGAUUAUAUCGGAAUCACUUACUGCUCCAGAAAUGAUUCCCAUGGAAGAAUUGCUGCCUGCUUCUACUUUUGCGGCUUGUUUUCAUUGCAUGGGAAUCUGUAGCAGAUUCUCCAUGCACAUUCCCAAUGUGCUAGUUGCUUCUUGCACCACCAAAGACGAUAUUGCACACAUCUGAAGUGUGGUCAAACAGGUCGUAGGAACAAAACACUUCUUUCUAUUAAAAAUUCAUUAAAAUUGAUGGCUUAUCCUUGCAAGAGGAAAAGGUAAUUAUUUUCAAUUUCAUAUUUAUCCAUAUUUUUUCAACAAUUUUUUUUUCAUAUUUAUCUGCUAAAAUUCAUCAGUCUAAAUUUGCUUGAGGCUUACAACUCUUACAGUCUUACCUUGUCUGGUAAGAUCAAAGACUUACAGUCUUACCUUCUUACCUUUGGUUUGGUUGAAAUUAGACUAACAAAGACUUGAUUCUAAUUCAAUGAGACCCUAGUCAUUGAAUAGUAGUUCAACUUAUUCGUAAAAAACGCAAUCGAACUAAUGCUUCUCUCUAUAACAGGAGAACAUGGCACAAGCUCUGGGUAUCUGUCUUCAUUUACUUGAGAGUAAUAGAUCUUUGGACAGUGUUCGCAGGUAAGUGUUUUGAAAUGUUAUAGGCAAUUCUCUGAACUGGAGAUGUCUUUUAUUUGCCAUUCUUCUAAGCAGUACAUUCUUUGCUAUAGCACUGCUGCAGCUACUUUCAGGCAGGCAGUUGCUUUGGUUUUUGACAACGUUGUUCGCUCUGAAUCACUCCCUCCUGGCAAAAUUGGUUCAUCAAGUCUCAUCUCUCGUAGCUCUGUCACUGACAUCGUUUCCCGUAGUUUCAGUCAGUCAGUGUAAUUUUCUUGCUGAACAAUUUUUCCUGCUCCUAUAAAUCAUCUCUAUGUUUUUUAUAUGUUCUGUAGACUCUAGUUUUUCUUUCGUUUUGCCGUUAUAAAUAUCAGAUGAUUUCACUUAGCAUUGAGUCAUCUUAUAUUGCCUAUGACAGGUCACUGGAGAGUAACUCAAUCUCGGGGCCGCCGCAGUUGCGGGAAGGUCUUAGCAAACCAGGAAAGCUUGGGCUCCGUCUACUGGAAGACCUGACAGCACUUGCUGCAGGUGGAUCCGUAUGUGCGAAUGAGAACCCAUGACAUAUACUAUCGAAACUUUAACAUUCCCUUCAUGAUCACAUUAUGGAAUAGUUUUAUCAUCACCCACAACGUUAAUAACGCUGGAUUUGCAUUAGACAAGCUAGCUCUUUUUUUUUUUAAUAUUUUUUUAUUUUUCCUGUUGAAAAAUAGAUAAAACAUGAUAUAUCAAUAUUUUUAUAAUCAUAUUCCUUUUAACCCAGGCUACCUGGCUGCGACUUCAUUCGCUCCAAAGGACAUUUGCUCUUGAUAUACUUGAGUAAGUACUCUAUUGUAUGAUAACAUAUUAAUACAUAUUAAUUAUAGUUCAAGAUUCGGAUUAGUUUAUUUACAAGGUUGUUGUCUCUGUGGUGGUUAACCAUAGUACCUAGCUAUCAUCUUAUGUGUCAUGAUGGAGACCAACGUGAAUUCAUGGCAUUUUUGGGUCAUUGGUGCCAAACUCCAACUUUAUAAAUGGUAAAAUGCAUGAUUUGAUAGCUUUUAAAGAUGUGACAUGCAGUAAAUUUAUCAUCGUUUAUUGCUAGUAUUAGUUGUUUUGGUUUAAUAGCCCAUUAGGAAUGUUAUUUGAUUUAAUUUGGUUUUUCAAACGAUGUUUCGUUUCCAUUUUGUCAACUGUAACCCUAGAUUGAAAAAUGAACUUGGUACUUUGUUAACUGUCUGACGUUCAAACUUCAUCAAAAAGGUAUUUGGUACUUUUGUUAACUGUCCGACGUUCAAACUUCAUCAAAAAGGUAUGCAUACUUUAGGCAUUAAUUACGUUUAAUUAAGAGGACGAUAAGACGAGCCAUCCUGAGUUUUCUUCAAUGAUUUCUUUUGUGUAUUGGGAGGGUGCCAGAUCUUAAGAGCCAAUUCAGGGUUUUUAUCUUUGAAAACCACAACUAGUCCUUGAAAACCUGACACCCUAUUUCGUCUGUGCCCACUGCUAUAGUGAUAUGUCUUAAUGCUGGUCAAUCUUCUGUUUUCUGCACCUGCAAACUCUACCUUAUUGACGCCCUUUUAACCCUUUAUUCUGAUAUUAACUCUAUUGCUUUGUCACGUCAUAUUUUAGUUUGAUUCUCAAAACAUAUUUAUCACAUGUUUUUGGUCAUCUUUUUAACUUCAUUUCAGUAUAAUUCUUUUCCAUUAGGUAUAUUUUUUUGUUCUAUAUACUAUUUGGCUGGUCAUUAGAACUGAUCUUUUUCUGUUAUUAACUCAAAAAAUUGAAUGUGAAUGACUAGUUAAUGGCUGUAAAAGUAUGUUUUAGUUCUGCGAUGCUUUAGUAUAAAUUUUCGCUUUGAUCUACAUUGUAGCAAGUGGUGAUUUGUACUCGGUACAGGUUCAUUUUGUCCAAUUAUGUUGCAGUCUUCCGAACCUUGUUGUCCUAUGAACAGGUAUUUCUUGCCCAUUUGAUAUGGAUACAAUUGGUGAUGCUUGUUCUAGUAUGUUGUUGUCAUGUAGCACUUCAAAUUUGCAGGUCUUGCGCCACCAAAUAUGUUCGCUUCUUAUGACCUCACUUCGGACUAAUGUGGAGGUAAUUGCUACUAAAGUACACAGUUGAGAAAAAUGUCAAUUGCUGGCAUCUACUAUGCACUUGUGUCAAAUAUUUUAUGUAUCGAAGGGGCUUAUACAGAUGUAUCCUGCAAAAUUAUCUAUUUGCUUAUACAUCCUGGUAAAAUGUGAAUUUUCAUCUAUACAUCUUGCUAGUGCAAUUUCUUGCAAAAAUACCCUUAUCUUAAGUUGGAGAAUUAUCAAAUUCAUGGGGUGAAGUUGGUUUUGUAUACAAAAAACUUUUAAAGAUGGUUAUUUUGUAAUUACAAGGGUAUAUGUGUGAGAAUUUGAGUUUUUGAAGGAUGCAUUUGAAAAUUCAGAUUUUGCUGGGAUGUGUGCCUGCAUGUGUGUGUUCAAGUCGACAGAGAGGUGUGGGUGUCGAGGUUGAGUGGGUGGCGUGGGAAUGAGUGUGGGAGUGUGGUUGUGGUGUGGAUAUAUGUGCGCAAGUGCACUUGUGUGCUUGGGCACGUAUAGAUAUGUAGUCUUACAGGGAUGUAUGUUGGUAACUCUAUAUCUUAUCUUCUGUUUGAUUUUUAAGCUUGAUGGUGAAGCUGGGGAGCCAACCUUCCGCCGGUUGGUCCUUCGUUCAGUUGCUCAUGUCAUCAGGCUUUACAGCGCAUCCCUUGUUACUGAAAGUGAGGUAUUGUUUUGUCUCCGAAAUCUCUUCUAUAUAAGUGUACGUAGCUUGUUCUUAUUGUCCAUGUAUUACUUUUUGCAAAAUAUUGGUUUAUUUAUACCAUUGUCACCUUGGUUGCACAGACACUGCUCUAAGGGAGCCACGUCUGCAUCUAACCCAUUUAUUAAUGCCAUUUUCUCUUUCGUUAUACGGACACAGUUUCAAGGGAGCUGUGUCUGCGUCUGACUUGCGUCGGAAGCAGAAUGCGUAGCGGACGCGCGACGACGCAUGUCCUCUGCGCGUCCAGGAUUUAAAAAAAAGGAGAUGCGAAGAGGACUCACGUGCAUCACGUGAGCUCUCUCUGCGUGGGAAGAGUUCCAUCCAUCUUAAUAAUGGGCAAUAUUUUUGCCCCACAAUCAAUAUUUCAUUAAUGCUUUAAAAUUAAGAUCUAAUUGAACAUAUAUAUGAUCUAUAGUAUUUAAAGAUAUAUGUAUAAAAAUAAUAAUUUUGGAAAAUCUAACACUUAGAUAUUAAAUGGUUUUAAGAAUCAACAGUAUUAGAAGGACUGUUGUUCAAUUUAUAAGAAAUUUAUAUUCAAAACCUUAUAAUUUUUCUAUAUAAUACCUAUUUUAAUGUCAUAUUAUACAUCUAAUAAAUUAAGUUCAAAAUUUUGUUGUGCUGUCUGUGGUGAACGAGAUCUCCUUAAGAAUCUGGUACAGGUAAUGUAACUCUGAUUUAUGCACCAACUUUGUAGGGCAUAUAAUUAGAAUAUAUUUACUGAUUUUAAUAUAUUAUAAUAUUUUGUACAUAAUUAAAAAUACAUUUUCCUGUCGGCAUUCGUGUGUCCAUGUUGUAAUUUUUUGGAAGUUGUCAAUUCACCACGUCUGUGUUGUGUCAUGUCCCGUGCCCCGUGUCCGUAUACGUGUAACAUAGAUUGUCAGUUUGUCACACUUUUGUUAUGCAUUAUUGCAACUUGUGGGGAUCGUAUUCAUCUAAAUAUCCUUUGGAGGUUCAGAUAGAAAUAUGUUUCUUGUGCAUCCUGUACUAGAAGAAAAUUAUCAAGCUUUUUUUGUUGGUUGAGAGUCUUUACUCUUUUAUCAUUAAUUGGGUAAAUUGCACUGAAUGUCUAUGAACUUCAACUCAAGAUUCAUUUUGGUCCUUGAACUUUCAAUUUCUAAAUUUGAGACCCUAAACUUUCAACAACAUAUCAAUCUAGUCCUUGAACUUUCAACAUUGUUUCAUUUUAGCCCUUACCAUAUGAUUCCGAAUUCUGUGACAAUGCUGGCAAAUUAUUGGUUGCAGCUAGUCAGUCCAUCUCAAUGGUUAGUAAGGUUGAAAUAUGAGAAAAAAUAAAUGGCCAAUAAAUGCAUGGUACAUAAAUGUACAAAUCUAGGCAAUAUUUUGCCCCCUAAUAGUAAAUAUGAAUAAGGACAACUGAAAUUUUUAUGCGAGUUUAGGGUCUCUAAUGCUGAACUUAUAAGUUUGAGGACCAAAAUGAGACCCGUCUGAGAGUCCAGGGACCAGUGCUGCAAUUUACCCAUAUUAGUUGGUAGCGAUCCAGUGUUUCAAAAAGCUCGAGGCGUAACAAGGCGCAAAGGCCUUAUGUAAUCUAGGCGCGGGUGCACCACAAGGCGCGUGCCUCAAGAAGGUGAGGCGCAUAUUUAAUAAACUUAAAACAUUGUUAACUAGCCUAGUUAAAUUGAUGUUCUACAUAAAAAAGAUUCAGACACAACCAUACAAAAGCAAAAUAACUAUGGAAAAGCAAAUCACAUGCAUAAAUGUUCUCUAAGAGUCCAAAAAGGAAAUUAAGAAAAGAAUCAAACAAAGAACACAAAAAAUGAAUCACAUGUGCAAUUGAAAGAAAGAAAGAGAAGAAUUGUUGCCCACCAUUUCAAUGAAAUAUGAAGAAGUAAAAAAGAAAAAACCUCACCAAAACAUCAAAUCACAUCAAAAGAACUUUAGAGAAUUGGAGUAUAGAGAGUUAAAGACCACACCAAAACUGCUGCUGCUUGCUAUUGCCGCUGCCGCCUACUGCUGCUGCUUUGUUGCUAUUGGAGAGAGAGAGAGAGAGAGAGAGAGAGAGAGAGGGGUUCUCAUUAGGGUUUUCUAAAUCCCUUUAUGGGUUAGAAUAUAUUGAUAAAAUUUGAGACCCAAGAACCCGAGCCUGAGACCUUUUUAACUUUAAACAUCACGAGGCACGCGCCGCAGGUUCUCCAAGGCACGCGUCUUAGGUGUGCACCUUAGGCGCGCUUUUUCAAACACUGCAGAGAUCCUAAUUCUGCAUCCCUCUUGACAAGUAGGACCAUUGUGCAUGCUGUAGUUUAUUUUCUUUCCUGGUAUGCCAAGAUGCUUAGUGUCUAUUUAGCCUGCCUUCAGAAAGAGCCUUUUUACUCCUGGAAGCAAUAGAUAGUCGUUUGGCAAAUAAAUAGUCUGGCGCUUUUGCUGCUGUGAGAAUUUGAAAUGAGUUAAGGAAAAGCUCCGAGUUGAAGCUUUUUCCUUCUGUUGAAACUGAAAUCUUUUUGGGGUAUUUUAGGUAUCUAUCAGUUUUUCUUCAAACAGCUCUAAUCAAGCCUUAUUGAGCUAGAGGCUGAAUUAUGCCCAAAAGUCUACCUUCUGACUCAAUCCUCUAUUUUGGUUUGCUUGGACCAUUUACGUAUUUGUUGUAGCUACAGGCUUCUACUUAUAAGGACUAUUUUGAUGGCAGGUCUUUCUUAACGUGUUGGUGAAAGUUACUCGUCUUGAUUUGCCGCUAUGGCAUCGUAUACUUGUUCUUGAAAUUUUGAGGGUGAGUUUCAUCUACUUCGGUAUAACUCCUGCUGGUGACUGGUGCCAAGUGAAUCUCGUGUUUUUUUUUUAAUUUUUUUAUCAGGGCUUUUGUGUAGAAGCGCGUACACUGCGCCUCCUUUUCCAGACUUUUGACAUGUAAGUUUCUUAUAAUUGUGUGGACUCUUCACUAAUCACUCAUGCUUCACCCUACAAUACUUUGUACUCUUUUGGUGUUCUAUUUUAUUUUAUACUUUUAAUGUGCUGGUUAAAAUCAAUUGUUAUUUUAUACUUUCAGGGACCCAAAAAACACUAAUGUUGUAGAGAAUAUAGUCAGAGCACUUGCUCGUGUGGUUUCUACUAUUCAGCUGGUAUUGGUUUUCUUUCUUCACUUUUAGUAGCCACAAGCACUUAAUGCUGGAUUACCCAUGUGAAUCAUAUGGAAUGUUCUUGUUUAUUUUACCUGCAGUAUGAGAUUGCAUUUGCUCAGUCUUGAAUACUGUCCUCCAUGUUUAAUCGAUUGGUGCUGCUAAUGAGGGAAACUUUGCAAUGUCAUACCGAAAAUUCUUAGCCAUAAGAGGAUUUGUAUAUCUAUGAACAAUUAUUGGGCUUUCAAUUCUUUUCUGAACCUUGACUUAAUCAUCACUUUCCAGCGGACUGGUAUCAAAUUGGAGGUGGAAAUUCUGGAAAUACUUUUUCUACUUGUCUGGAUAAACAAAAUAAGAGACUUCUUAAGAUUUCAAACAAAAUGUUUUUUCGCCUAGUUUCUGUAAUUCAUAGACAAGUGUUUUCGGUUUAAAAAUCAUCUUACUUCUAUCCAGAUCCUAAAUAUCCAAAGAUUCAGAUCCUUACACUUUUUAGCACAGUCUAUAUCACUAGAUAUGUGAAUCUCCUGUGAUAUUUUUGCUGUGUGGCUAUUCCAUAUUAUGCUCUCUUUAACACUUGGAACUUAUUUCUUGUCCUUCUGUUUUUUGUUUUAUUUUAUAAGAUAUUUGAAUAGAAUCAAUAGAUCUUAUGUGUUGAUGUUAGGUUUUUUGAACUUUCUUGGAAAUGAUACAUCUUUCUGUUCUAGGUUCCAGAUUCAAGUGAAGAGAGUCUCGCAGCUGUUGCAGGAAUGUUUAGCAGCAAAGCUAAAGGUAUCUUCUAUUGUAAUAUAGUUUGAAUUUUGAAAUAUCAAUAUCGGUUGCUUUUCCAAGGGAGCUAACUCAUAGUUAUAGGAAUACAAGAAUUUAAUAUAUGAGAAUCUCCUCAUUGUCUCCUUACUGGCAUGAAAAGAGAACAGCAUCAUAUUUUGUUUGAUUAAGUUACACUUAUCAAUCAUUGUUUCAUAGAAAUUCUUUCUUUGUGUUGAAUCUGGUCGAUGCAAUGGGGACAAGUUCUGUUCAUUUUUUUUUCCCAGUAGUUGAUUCUUGGGAAUUUCUUAUUAGCUGUUCAUUAAUGUUUGUUGUGAAAAUACUUGGACUUGCCAUGCUGUAUAUAACAACAUUUUCUUUUUUCAUCGAAGAUACAUAUUUGCUUGCAAUGUCAGAAUUAGUAAUGCGGCAACUUUUGUCCAUGUAGUUUGUGAUUCAGUAAUGUGGCACUGUUGUUAGCUAAAAUGCAAACCUCCCAUAACAUAUUGUGAUAUUCUGAUUGUCACCUUGUCCUCUGAAAUCCUUAUGAAUUUAUGGAGGGUAGAUGUCAUAUGAACUAGCAUUCAGAGAAUUUUGUUGCUUCCAAAUGCAUUAUCUCUCAGUUGCAUUAGCCAGCAACAUAUAUUGGGUGAAUUAUGUGAUCUUAUUUCUAGUAAUUAAAGGACCCAUAAGUUGUUGGCAGCAUUUUCUGAGAUAAAUGUAAAAGUAACUGCUAGUGUAGUUAGCCGGAUUAAUUGAAGUGAUGGUCUCCAGUUGUUGCUUGUGUUGUUUCCAUUCCUGUUAUGAUUUCUUUUUUUUUUAAACGUGUUAUUAGUAUUCAUGGCUUUCGGAGCAUGAUAUAAAGUUUGGUUUUGCAUUAUCGUCUUUAAGUGCGAUCUCUGUAGGUGUUGAAUGGAGCAUGGAUAAUGAUGCGUCAAAUGCCGCUGUUCUGGUUGCCAGUGAAGCCCAUGCUAUCACUUUAGCUGUCGAGGGUCUUUUAGGUGUUGUUUUUACAGUUGCUACUUUGACCGAUGAAGCUGUUGAUUCUGGUGAGGUGAGAUCAACUAAUUUUCUUUCACUGAAAAAUGAUGAUUUCCGUGGAAUGUUAAAUAACUCUUGACUUAUCAUUUGCUUCACAUGCAGCUUGAAUCCCCUAAAUCUGAUGCUGACCAAUCAGCUGAAUGCACUGGAGAAAUGGCUCUUAUCUGUAUAUCAAUGGUAAAUUCAACAUGGUUGACCAUCCUUGAUGCUCUCUCUCUUAUUUUAAUGAGGUAGGUUGACAUCUUCCUUUGGGAGUCUUACUAACGUCAUUGUCUAGUCUGUUUUUUUUUAAUGACGUGAACUGCCAUUGGAAGGUCGCAAGGGGAAGCCAUAAUAUUGGAAAUACUGAAAGGAUAUCAGGCAUUUACUCAGGUGAUUAGGUUUUUGAUGUACUCAUCGUGUGCAUAUGAUUGAGGCUAAUUAUUUCUAGCUUGUUCAUAUUAUUGUAUAAUGAUAUACUUCUUUAUUUAUUUUGUAUGGAGAAAAGAGUUUUAAUGUGCUAUUUAGGGCUCUUGUAUCUAUUUUGCAUUUUAUUUUCCAGUAAUGUUCUCCUAGUAACCACUCUUAUCGCAUAUGAACUCCUAGCCGUUUGUAUGAGGCUACACGUUUACAUUCUGGAGGUGAUUAUCUGCAUGAAUACUGUUUCAGGCAUGUGGAGUUCUUCGUGCUGUAGAACCGUUAAACUCUUUUCUGGCAUCUCUGUGCAAAUUUACAAUCAACAUUCCUAAUGAAGGGGAGAAGAGAAGGUAGUAAACAUCAUUUUAGUUGGCUCAUUCUGUGUUCUAUUGUCCAGUUUUUCUCAAAUGUGUAACAGUCAACACCGGCAUUAUUAUACAGUAGAUAAUAUGCUUUAUGACACGUUUAGACCAUGUGCUUUUUAUGAUCCUGUGAAAACUUUCUUGUACCUCUUUCUGUUUGAAGCAUAUCUAUUUGUAUGUUCUCCUACGAAUUUGGAUGUUUUUAAUCCAUGAGAUGAUGAGUAUUUUUUUUUUUUGGGUGCAAAUCUGAGAUGAAAUUGCCAAUUUACUGUUGUUAUUCUUUUUUGAAGUCUAAAUCUUAAUGUUCUAUUGCUUUUUCUUUAAAUUAAUGAGUUCCUAGAAGUUGUAGACUUGAACUUUUUGUCAUUUUUUACUUGUUAUUGCUUCCUUGUUUGACUUAUAACUACAGACAGCGUGUGUGGAUAGAAGUAAUAUCUGGAAGGAAUCUAUGAGUAUGGGCUCUUGCUUUGUUGGUUUGUAUAGUUGAUACAAAAGCUAUUCUAGAUGAAAUCUGGCCAUUAAAGUUUUUGAGCUACCUUUUUCUUUGUUAGCAUGAUAUGAUAGUUCAACUUAGUCUCGUAAAGAUGGAGCACCGGCUAAUAUAUCCUGCUUAGAUUGAUUUUAGGUUGUGUGUGAAGGCCAGUGCCUCCUAAGUAUGGUAUAAACCACAUAAACCAAAUGGAGCAGAAGCUGAAAUUCACAUAUUUUAUCAUCAUGUUUAUAUAUCCAUAGGUGAUUUCAGAAUGGAAGGUGGCAGUUGAACACAUAUAUCAAAAUGUUGUAUGGCUUAAUUGAGAAUUGGAUGCAUAAUCUUAACCUUGGAAGUUGGAAACAUUAACAAAAGAAAAUUAACCGAGUUUAUUUUGAGUUUCAUUCUUGUUUUUUAAUCUGGUAAAAGUAGAAACAAGAUUAUGAAACAUGUCUGAAGGUCAAGAUGUCCUGCUUUGUAGCCCCCUAUAUUUAUUAGCCAGUACUUCAUCAUCUUGUCUUUAUUACAUGGUUUGAAAAGUAUCUCUUGCACUCCUCUUUCCUAAUCCGAGAGAAUCUAUGAUGGCAAUGUCAUUUGCAUUGAUAUACUUCAUUAUUUAAUUUUCUUUCCACUUUUAAUCAGUCCUUUAUUAUCUCCUGGAUCAAAGAAGCCAGAACCUUUACAAGAUCAGCGGGAUAACAUUGUUCUGACACCAAAAAAUGUGCAAGUAAGAUUAGUCAGAUGGUUGUUGAUAAUUAAUUUUGUUACAAAUAAUUUGCCAAGUUUUGUGAAAUGAUGCUUACUUCAGUGAAAUUAAUGCUUUUAAUUUUGAUUGGUUGUUUGUAUUCUUUUAGGCUCUGAGGACACUUUUUAAUGUGGCCCACCGCUUACAUAAUGUUUUGGGUCCAUCCUGGGUUUUGGUAGGCUUACACUUUGUUCUGUAUCACAACCUUUUUAUUUAGAGUUCUCAGUAUCCUAUCAAUCAAGCCUUUCAUGCUGCCAAUGUCUAGGUGUUGGAGACCUUGGCUGCGUUGGAUCGAGUCAUCCAUUCUCCACAUGCUUCUACCCAGGUUGUUUUGUGAAUCAGCAAUCACUUCCGUCACUUCAUUCCUAAUUUCUGCAAUAUUUUGAGGAACUUUGUCCUUAUUACUGUUAUUUUAUUUCAUCAACAUUUAAGCAUGUGAAAACAUAUUUUUGGUGGGCAGAGUGACUGAUGAGAUUAACUCCAAUUUAAGUUAAAAUAAAAAAUAAUUAAGCUUCUUUGAGUGAUGGCCAUCAUUCAGAUUUCAUAUGACUUCUAGUUUCAUGGUAGUUAUAUUUCACGCCUUCGAAGUUUCACAUUUGCCAUUAAAACCAUGAUAAAAUUUGCUCAAUAGUUUUUUUUAUUUUUGAUUGUUGAUAGUUAAUAAGUUUUACUCAUAGGCUGCUAAAAUUUACUUGAAUUUUUAAUUCGUCACAAAUAACAUGUUUCUGAAGCAGUAUUGUGGUCCAUAUGCAUGUGUAGGAAGUUUCAACUUCUGUUUCAAGGGUUACAAGAGAAUCGUCUGGACAGUACAGUGAUUUCCACAUCUUAUCUUCUCUUAAUUCUCAGGUCAGCAAAGUAUUUCAGUACUAGUGAUACAAAUUUUAUUUUUUAUUACAAAUUCUGAUAUUGUUCUUUUUUUUGUUUGUUUUUUUAGUUGUUCGAAAGCUCAGCAAUGAUGCAUGUUUCUGCAGUAAAAUCACUUCUAACUGCAUUACGUCAGUUGUCGAGCCAAUGCUUAUCUGGAAAUUCUCAAUUAUUAGGUCAACACAUUGGAACAGUUGUGUUUUCGGUGGAACGCAUGGCGUCAAUACUUGUUAAUAAUUUGCACAGUAAGCAUUUAGUUUUUAAACAUCAAAAGUCACGUGCUUCUUUAUACUGUAUUUAUUUUAUGUAUCAGAUAGUAAGUGUAUGUAAAGGGACGAAAUGAAAAUAUUGAAAGUAACUUGUUGACAAAAUGGUGGAUAUACCACAUUUGCCCCCCCUUUGUCUUCCCCCUAAGUGGCUAUAACUUUAGAGUAUAAAUUAGGGAUUAUUUAUUAUGGAUUCUAAAUAGCAGUUUAUAGUUAUAGAUUGUAGAUUCUAGUUAUUUCAUAAGGUAUAUAUAAGAGUACAUAUAACAAUAAGAAUAUAUAUACUAAUUUCAUAAGGUUAUAUAUGUAAAUUGAUUAUUAUAAGAAUAUAUACCUAGCAAAGUUAGCUAAGGACUUGAUGAUUGGUAUCCGAGGUUCCAAGUUUCAAGCCUAGUUGCUUCAUAUUUCUAGCUAAGUUCAUUUCUUAAAAAAUGAAUGAGGCGGGUAGCUUGCUACCUUUCUCUCUCAAAAAAAAACUAUUGUUCUCUCUGAUACCAAGUUAGUUGGGCAUGUUAUGUAUUUACUACUGCUAGUUCUAUCAUUUUGUAAUGAUGCUAUUUUCCUAAUUAGAAACUGUUGCCGACAAUGAUCCAAUCCUUUACUAUGACCUGAAUUUCUCUGUCCACUCCCACCUACUUGUGUGUAUACCUGUAUAUUUGUAUAUGUAUGUACAUGAGCUCUUUGAAUAGUAAAUUGCCAAAACAACUCCGUCCAGAUAGAUAUCAAAUUCUUACACACUAAUUAUUGUGAACUGGAUUUCCAUCUUUCCAGGGGUGGAGCCCAUAUGGGAUCAAGUUGUUUCUCAUCUUCUUGAGGUGCUGUUUACUGGUAUUUUUGAUGUUACAUUUGUUUUGAUUUUUCUCUCUAUUGGUAACAUGAUCAAGUAUUGCAGCUUGCUGAUUGUGCCAAUGCACAAUUAAGAACCAUGGCUCUGGAUACAUUGGAUCAAUCAAUUUGUGCAGUGCUAGGUUCUGAUCAUUUUCAGGGUGUCAGUAGUUCUUCAUAUCAGCUUCCCAACUUCGAAGUGAGCAAUCUUUUUUUUUACGGGUAGACUGUACGUGUACUCUUGUACUGUCACAAUAUUACGAAAUUAAUCCCUGAGCUUUUCACAUGAACUGUUAAAUAGACUCCUUUAAUAAUCGGGAGCUUGGCCCCCUACACCAGAACCCUCAAGUCUGCCCAUUGGGACUCGUGCGUGUGUCCCCACCCUUUUCCUCCCGAUGACUUUAAUUGUCAUAUAUGAGAAAGUUCACGGACUAAGUCUUAUUAUGAGUAUAAUGCGUGGACUUUCCAUAGGUAGUACCCUUAUUUUAGUUUUCUGGUAUGGUCUUUUAUCUUUUGAAUUGAUUGGCCUUCUGCUUAGGUGGCAAAAGAAUGUGAAAUGGGAUUAUUCGAGUCUGCAGUUUUAUCUCCAUUAAUGGUCCUUUAUACUUCUAACAAGAACCUUGACGUCCGUGUUGGGUCGUUGAAAAUUCUCUUGCAUGUUUUAGAGGUAAUCUUAUUGAAUCAGAGAGUGACUACCAAUAUUUUGUUAGUUUUGAAAUUGCCAAGGCAAUGACAGUUUUUGCUGCAUUGAAUCUCAGAGACAUGGAGAGAAGUUGUACUAUAGCUGGUCCAGCAUACUUGAAAUGCUGAGGUAUUUUCUUUUCAGCAAUUCACUCAAUUAUCCUUUUUUGGCUUUAUUGGUUAGAUAUGUGGAGAUCAGACUAUUUUCCUUUUCUUUCCAUGAUUUUAAAUGCAUAGGGCGGUUGCUGAUUCAGCAGAGAAGGAUCUUAUCCCACUGGGGUUUCAGGUGAGGAAGAUAUAAUUGGCAGCUUUAGAUUGAUAAAGAGCCCUCAUGGAGGGCAAUGAACUUAUUGGGUUAAAUAUUCCUUUCUUGGCUUAAAUUUGCCUUCCUGUAUUGCAAUUUUCGUCAAGAUAUACUAUGAUUGCUUGAAUUUUAGAGCUUUUCUUUGGCUUUUAUUAUGCAGAGUGUCCGUGUUAUCAUGAACGAUGGAUUAUCAACCAUACCUGUAAAAUGCCUUGAUGUGUAAGACUCUUUGUUGUGUAUAUUAAUUUAAUUUAGUUGCUGAUCUAGUCAUUUUUAUUGGCAGCUGUAAGUUUUAUUAUUUUACUCCUAUGAUUCCUUCUGGCAGAUAAAAAGGAACUUCAUUUGAUGUAAUGUGAAGGUUAUUUGUUUGCUAAUUUCCUAAAGGAGCCUAUUAUGUUUUAUUUUGUUCUUUCCCACACAAAUUUGAAUAUCAAUUUUGGCAUAGUUUUGGGUUACUUGUCUAUUUUGGCGCCAGAAGUUGAGUUAAGUUGUUACAAUUGAAACUUUGACUAUGAAAAUUGAAAAGUAGGUCUAACUACUUCUGACUAAAUUUGUGAUUAAUUCUUUUUUUCUCAUAUAUCGCCUUCACAAAUUCUGCAGAUGUAUAGAAGUUACUGGGGAAUAUGGUGCUCAGAAAACAGAGCUAAAUAUAAGUUUGACUGCAAUUAGCCUCCUCUGGACUGCAACUGAUUUCAUGGCCAAGGGAUUAGUUAAAAGUGCUGCUCAAGAAGCUGGUAUUACAGAAAAUGAUAGACCAUCACUUGCUUAAUAUUUAUCAACACUUUAAUUUUGCUACUUUUAUGCUUAUCAUUAAUUGUUUCUUUCAUCACAGAAAAUGAUAUGUAUCACAGAAAAUGAUAUGUAUGCUGAUGGCUAAUAAUUUGGUUUUGUAUCUUACAGAGCUAGUGUCUGAUGUGGAACCUGUCAAAGGACAAGAGAAAACAUAUGAAACUUAUGAAGAUGAAGCCAUUGGACAUCCCACUGAUGGAAAUGCUAGUCAAGUUCCUAUGAAAAGUGCUGUUGAUCACAAGAAAUUGCUAUUUUCGGUUUUCUCCAUACUUCAAAGACUUGGCGCAGAUGAGAGGCCUGAGGUACUCCUUUCGUAUUAACGAGCAUCUCCGAACAUGUGUGCACACAUCCUUUGUGUUUGCACAAUCUUGUUUUUUGAUGGUUUAGUUUAAAGAAAUUAUUGCCUGCACCCAUUGCACAACAUAAAAAAGCAUGCCCAAUGAGACGCCACCGUCCCUUCUCAUCUUCAAUCUCUUCCAUCUCUUCCAUCCCCUGUGUUGAAUGCUUUCCUUGUUUAGAAUUCAUUUUCAUUAUAAGUGAGUUUGAUGGUUGUUUGGAAAGUGUGCAAUGGAAAUCACCAGGGGGCAUCGGCAGUACACCACAGUAUUGUUUAUUGACUUCUUGACCUUAUCUAUAAAUCUUUCAUGAUCUACUUGUUAGACUUCCAUCCAUUAUUUGUUAUAUAUUAUCUCCUACAUCUUGUUUUAUUUAAAAAGAAAAAAAAAACUGUUCAAUCAUGAAAUUUGUAAUACUACUGCUGUGAGGAAGGUUUUUGAAUACUUUUGAACUUUCCUCUUUAGCAUGUGAUUGUUUUGUUAGUGUUUUACACAAUAAAACAGUAAAAGACCAUUACUGCGACUUGGUUCAAAAUUAAUUGUUCUGUUGAAUUUAUCAGCUUUGUUUGGUUUUCAGCAUUGCAGCCUGCAGAGUUCUGACUCUAAUUGUUUAAUUAAGAAGUUUUGUUCUGAUAAACAAACAAACAUAUCUCCCUAUUGAUCUUCAGCGGUUAAAAGAAAACAUAAAUUCUUUGCCAUUCGACAAAAUUUAUUGUAAAAAAUGUGGUAAGAGUUCUAGUAAAACCUUCUGUGCUCAUAUCAAUGCAGUCUACUCAGUCUUGUGGUAGUACACUUUUUUCUUGUUUGUAGCUCUGUUUUGUUUUAAAACAACAAAAUCAGAAUAACCUCUUUUUUUUUGUGGCAAAGAUAUAAACAUCUGUGUGGUUGUUGCUUCAUUACAGGUGAGGAACUCGGCAAUCCGGACUCUUUUUCAGAUUCUGGGCAGUCAUGGACAGAAAAUUUCCAGAAUCAUGUGGGAGGAUUGCCUUUGGCAAUAUGUUUUCCCUAUCUUGGAACGUGUUUCUCACUUAGUAAGUUAUUUUCUCGUAACUCUAAAGUUUGUGAUGAGUCUUCUGUUCUAAUUUUCCCCUGAAUUCUCUAAACACUUCCACAGGCUGCCACCUCAUCCAGAGAUGAGUGGCAGGGAAAGGAACUAGGGACUCGUGGAGGAAAAGCUGUUCACAUGCUUAUACAUCACAGGUAUGUACACUCAGAAUGGAAGGUGCUGGUUCUAUCAGGAGAACUUAUUCCCUGCAAAUGGUGCACCACAUCAGCGAUGCACUGCUGAUGUGAUGUGCUGUCUGUUCUAUCUCAUACUCCUUGGUUGGAUAUAUAUGAGAUGUAAUUGAGGAUAGAACAUUGAGCAGUGCACGGGUGGCGCAUGUAAAUUCUGUUGUUUACUUCUGUUUGAUCAAACUUCUGGUACUUGACCAUACCUGGUUUUGCAGCCGUAAUACAGCACAAAAACAAUGGGAUGAAACAAUUGUAUUGGUUUUAGGUGGAAUAACACGACUGUUGCGAUCCUUUUUCCCUUUUCUUCAGAGUUUGAACAACUUUUCUACAGGUAAGUCUUCUCUUUUGGCAAGUUUGUGUCCAAGUUUGGACACACACACACACACACACACACAUAGAUACAUACAUACAUACAUACAUACAAAGAGAGAGAGAGAGAGAGAAUGUGUCCUGUGCUUUCGAAAGCACGGAGGCCUCCGUGCUUGUAAGUUGUUUUUGAUGAUGGGAUAUCAGAUUCAAUGAUCGGCUCCGUUAGGCAUAAUUUACGCUAUUAGAACUAUUUAGAAAUCAAAUUUCAUAAUUUUUCGAUAUUAUUUACCAAGUGAUCAAAGGGUCUCAAAAAUGACUAUUUUAAUGGCCGAUGUGGCACAUUUGUAAGUUCAACAAUGUAAAACAAUCCAAAUUUGGUGAAAUGUUAAUAGAAAAUUUUGCUUAUCAUCAAGAGCAAGAUCAAUACUUCCAAUUUAAAAUUUAUCUUUUUACACUAUUUUUUUGUGAGAUUUUUAUUUUCGGCCGAGCAAAUGAAGUAAAAAAUUUAUGAAAUUUGAUUUCUAGAUAGUUCUAAGUUCCAACACUGUAGAUCAUGUCCAAUGGAACUAAUCGCCGAAUCAAAUGUCCCAUCAUCGAAAACAGCUUGCAAGUACGGAGGCCUCCGUGCUUUCGAAAGCAUAAUAGCUCAUAUAUAUAUAUAUAUAGAGCUAGGCUGGUAUACUAUCGGUAGCACGGAGACCUCCGUGCUACCAAGUUGUUUUCAAUGUUGCGGCUUUCAAAUCGACGAUCGGCUUCAUUAAAUUUAAUCUACACUAUUAAAAAUAUUUGGAAAUUAAAUUUCAUAAUUUUUCAGCAUCAUUUACCUAUCAAACGAGUAGUCUAAAAAUGAACGGCUGAAAAUAAAAAUCUCAUAAAAAAUGAUGAUAAAAGACUUCAUCAGAUUUGGAGUGUUUUACACCGUUAAAUUCACAAACGCAUCACAUCUACCAUUAAAAUUGUCAAUUUUGAGACCUUUUGAUCACUAACCAAAUAAUGCCGAAAAAUUAUGAAAUUUAGUUUUUAAAUAAUUUUACUAGUGAAGAUCAAGUCUAACGGAGCCGAUCGUUGAUUUGGAAGCCGCAUCAUUGAAAACAACUUGGUAGCACGGAGACCUACGGAGGCCCGAUAGUAUACCAGCCUAGCUCAUAUAUAUAUAUAUAUAUAUAUAUAUAUAUAUAUAUAUAUAUAUAUAUAUAUAUAUAUAUAUAUAUAUAUAAGAGUUGAGCUGGAAUGCUAUUAAUAGCAGACGGACUCCGUUGUCAUCCAUUUGUUUUCGAUGAUAGAUCCUCCAAAUUGAUGAUCGACACUGUUGAAUAUGAUCUAUACUACUUGAAGCAUCUAGAAAUAAAAUUUCAUGCUUUUCUGAUAUUGUUCUCUUGUCCAUUAAGUGGAUGCAAAAAUGGAUGACUGAAAAUAAAUAUUCUUUAAAAAGUGAUGCUAAGAAUAUUGUAAUCAAGAUCAAGAGUAUAGAUCUUGUUUUAAAUAGUUUAAAGAAAUUUCGAACCAAAAUUCAAUUAAUUUGGAUAUCUUUAUAUCGUUAAAUGAGAAAACGCCUUAUAUUGACCAUUAAAACUACAAACUUUGAAACACUUUGAUCAUUAGGUUAAUGAUGUCUAAAAGAUUUGAAAUUUGGUUUCUAGAUACUUUAAGUGGUCGUUGAGUUGGAAGCUCCAUCAUCGAAAACAAAUGGGUGGCAACGAGGCCUGUUUGCUACUAAUAGUAUUCCGGCUUAACUAUAUAUAUAUAUAUAUAUAGAGAGAGAGAGAGAGAGAGAGAGAGAGAGAGUCCGGCUACUAUACUAUCGAUGGUACCAAGCUCUUGGUACUAUCGAGUUUUCUGCCGUUAGAUGUACCCUUUGAUCAUUUCCACCCGUUAGAUUAUACUAUUUAACCAACCACCCGCUCAACCCUAGGGGACCACUAUCCUCCUAACCGCACAUCCUUUCAUCCAACGGCUGAAAACUCGAUAGUACAAAGCGCUUGGUACUAUUGUUAGUAUAGUAGCACAAUUAUAUAUAUAUAUAUAUAUAUAUAGAGAGAGAGAGAGAGAGAGAGAGAGAGAGAGAGAGAGAGAGGAGGGCGUCAGAUCACAUACUAUUAUGAGGUAUUGGGCCUUCGUACUCAUAAGUUGUUUUCGAUGAUGGAGCUUCCGAAUCGACGAUCCACUUCCGUCAAAUAUGAUCUAGAGUAUUUGAAACUUCUAGAAAAUAAAUUUCGUAAUUUUUCGAAAUCAUAAUAAAGUCCAUCAAGCAGGCAUAAAAUAGAUGGUCAAAAUCGAACGAUGUCUUAAAAAAUGGAUGGUCGGAUCCUUCAAUUUAGAUCAGUUAUUGAUCUUUAUCUAGGUAGUGAAUAGAAUUUUCUAUCAAAAAUUCAACUUAUUCGGAUUCUUUUGCACCGUUAAACUAGCAAGUAUUCCAUACCGGCCAUUAAAAAUUGUUAAUUUUGUGAGCUUUUGAUUGUAAGGUAAAUGAUGUCGAAAAAUUAUGAAAUUUGAUUUCUAGAUGUUUCAAAUGCUCUAGAUAACGUUUAAUGGUGUGGAUCGUCGAUUCAGAAGCUCUAUCAUCGAAAACAACUUAUGAGUACGAGGGCGAUCGUACUCAUAAUAGUAUAGUAGCCGGACUCUAUAUAUAUAUAUAUAUAUGAUUUGUUAUCCACCCAGUUUAUUAACUACCUUGAGUAACAUGCAGGCUGGGAGCUUUUGCUCAAUUUUGUCAAGAAUAGCAUCUUGAAUGGUAGCAAAGAAGUUGCUCUUGCUGCAAUAGGCUGUUUACAGACAGUCGUUAUUUCUCAUUGUCCGAAGGUAUAUUAUGUGGGGGCUUUUUACAUUUAUUUCCCUGCAAAGUCAUCCAUUAACUUUGAUUAACGUAGAUAUCUCUGCAACUUAAUUUCUUAUCCUUGCGUCCUUGUACUUACAAAAUUUCCCCAUGAAUACAAAACCAACUUUCCCCAUGAAUACAAAACCAACUUUCCCCAUGAAUAGAAUUUCUCUCAAACUUGAAAGGGUAACUCACAAGAUUCAGCAGUUUCAAGGUCAGGUUAUACAGGGAUACAGCAUAUAUAUAAAUUAUAAAUGGAUUAUUUUGUAGGGAUAUGUAUGUAAAGGCUCCUUCUUGAAAUGCCCUUCUGUUUGUCACUUUUGCUUUGACGUACUUUACAGAAGUACUUUUCCUACUACUGUUGCUACUAUUAUACUAAGUCAAGACCUGGAGUCCCAUUUGAAAGAUCUAUUUCCGUAUUUUACUUCAACUGCAUUACUCUAAUACCUAUAAUUUUCACUAUAUCAACUUUGAGUUGACCAGGGAAAUCUUGAGAUGUCAUAUUUAAAAUCCAUGCUUGAAGUUUAUGAGCUUGUACUUCAGACAUCGCUCAGUUAUAAGAGUAAUUCAGCUGAUAAGGUGAAGCAGGAGAUUCUGCAUGGUCUUGGUAAUGCAGCUGAUGCCUAGUAGUUUGUAAAAGUCCUUGAAUAUUGGGUAAAAAUCUCAAAUAGUCUUAGUACUCAAACAAUAUUGUGACUUAGUGCUAAUACCAGUGUUUACAGCUCGGUUCCAAACCGAAAACCAAACCAAAUAAGACAAUUUGGUUCGGUUUAUAUGGUUUUCAGUUCUGUUUGGUUUGAAAAUAGUUAAAAUUUGCUUUUUGGUUUCGGUUUGGUUUUAACACUCAUAACCAAACUGAACUGAAAAUUGAAUAGUAAUGUUACCCACACUUUUUAUCUAAACCAUAUAUUAAAAUUCUAUAUUUAUAAUUAAAUCUUGAUUACAUAUCAACACACUUUUCAACAUCCUAUGCUUAUGAUCAAAAUUUUUGUGUAACUUUCAUAAUGAUUCAAUUUUGAUUCUUAAAUUAUGAAUUAAUUCAGAAGAAAAAUAGGAGUUCUGAAUCUACUUGUGAAACAAACCGUACUAAUUGAAUUAAUUUGGUUUAGUGUGGAUUGGUUCCAAGAAUAAAUUGGUUUGGUUCAGCUGUGGAUUUUUUCAAACCGAAAAAUUUGGUUCGUUUUGAGAAUUUCGUAAAAUCCGAAUCGAGUGCACCCCUAGUUGCUGAACUUCUAACUUGAACACUUUAGUCUUUGGAGUCCUUCUACAUAGCAAUCACAUCCCCAGCAUUACUAUGUACAUGAAAAGUGUUAAGUCACAUGCUCAGCACGUGACCCUUACCUUAAAACGACCAAUUUACCCUUUUCCAUAAAUUGACUUCAUUAUUUCAAUUUGUCUGAAAUGGGGGUAGAUGGUAUCUUACAGGAAAGUACCGUGUGCUCAGCAUGUGACUAUAUGGAUGUUAGGCAUUUUGAACGGCCUAAGAUGCAAUUGCAAAUCUAUAGGAGGGUUCUGGGAGCAAAGUGUUUAAGGGGAAAGUUUAUUUACUAAGUUGCAAUAUUGUGCAAGUACAUGGACUAUUCAUAAAUUGUCCAAGUACAUGGACUAUUCAUGUUCUACCCUUGGAGAUCUGAUGAUUGCAGUUUUUAUUAUGUGCAGGAGAUUUAUAUGUGCAAGCAAAGUCAAUGUUUGACCCUGACAUGUAUCUGCGACUUCUUGCUGUUCUGAAAUUGACGAUUAGAAGUUUGAGAAGUUCUUGUGAUUCUGAAAUUGAAUCAGUAUGUUCAUACAUCAACUGGAUCUGGCUUUUUUUAAUUUUCGUUUUGCGCUGUUAAUUGCAUGUUUGGCCUGGCUAUUGGAGCAGCUUCUCUUCUUCAAGUAGAAGUCUGGCAUUCAAUAACCAACAGUUUGAAUGUUUGCCCUAGUUGGGAAGCUUCGAGGCUCCAAAAAAUUGAAUCUCCUGCUACAAAUUAGCAUGGUGCACUACAGCACUAGUGAGGAACUUUAAAAGAAUAGCUGUUUGUGCUUCUCUGGACAGACAAGCAUCAUGAAUUUCACUUUCUUAGAAGCUCCAACUGACCCUAUGUGUAAAUAUUGGAUUAUUUUGUAUCUUUCAUAUUACUCAAACAUCAACAAUGUGUUUACUUCUCUCUCUUAUGUCGAUUAUGUAGAGCUCCUUUUCUUGUUUAGCCUUUCUGCUAACACAUUUUUGCUCAGGGAAAUGUUACCCUGGUUCAGCGCACUGUCUUGGAAAUUAUACCCCUUCUAGUCCUGACUUUACGUGUAUUGUAUCUGAUUAUUUUGCAUCUUUCAUAUUACUCAAACAUCAACAAUGUGUUUACUUCUCUCUCUUAUGUCGAUUACAUAGAACUCCUUUUCUUGUUUAGCCUUUCUGCUAACACAUUUUUGCUCAGGGAAAUGUUACCCUGGUUCAGCGCACUGUCUUGGAAAUUAUACCCCUUCUGCGUCCAACCGAUCUUUUACCUUCAAUGUGGUCCCCGCUCCUCCAGGAACUGCUUUGUUGUCUUAUUGGGUUUGAAGCUUCCCCAGAGAAAGUGAAGAAUCAGAUGGAUGGAGACCAAAAUGCGAUGGAAUCAAAUGGUGAUACUAACAAUAAUACUGGUAGGUCUGAUUGAUUCUAAUGUUUAGAUCCUUCAAGGAAGGCUUAACCCUUCAAAAGUUUGAAAUAAUUGUAUAUAGCCAUUGAUCUUUGAAAAAUAUCACAGAUGCUUUCAUUCCUGUAUAAAAGAUAUAGUUUGGAAGUGCUUUCUCCAUGAUAGCAGUCAGAUAGUGAUCUGCCAAACCCAAUGCAAAAUGGAUGAAUUUAUUAAAAAGAAUACCCUUUCCGAAUAUUUUUCUGAAAAUUAUAACUAUUUAUUUAGGGCAUUUAUUAUAUUUACAUUGGCAUUUUGAGUAUUAUAGGCAUACAUUAAUACAUACAAGGGCAUCACUAACUGUUUCCAACUAGUAGGGGGCAUCUAUGGUAUUGUAGGUCACUAGAAAGGAAGUAUGCAAUAUUUUGAAAAGGAAAAUAAUUUUGGAAAUUGGUUGUUUGUCGAGAAAAUAAAAUGGAGAAAUAAAAGCUUGAAAACUUGAUGUGCUGAAUGGUCUUGUAUUCAUCUCCAUAACAGAAGUGGGACCUUGUUCUCUUCAUUCUGGUCUUGACCCUUCUGAGGAUACUAUUGCGUGUGGCUGGAACCAUCCUUUCGAGGAAAAGCUUGUCCCUAUUAUUGUGGAGCUUUAUUUAGAGGCGCCUGCAAAUGAAAGGUUCAGUGUAUCUCCACGAAUAAUUCAAGGCCUUGGAAGGUAACAUUGCUCCUUACAACUUCUCUUUCAUUUGAGAGUACAUCAUUCUUAAGUUAACAUGCUACUUCAGCUGAGCACAUUGGAUUGCCAUAAAAUAACUGUAAUGCCUUUAUGGCCCAUAUCAGUAAAGUGAAAUUCCCCCAUGGUGCACCUGAUCUCUGUAUUCCCUUCCCCAAGACCUUAGGUGAAUAAGCAGAAACGUGAAUAAAAAGAAGCUAAGAGAGUAAACGGUAUGGCACCCUAUUCCACCUUCUGAUUGGAGAUUAAAGAGUAGUGAAUUUUAAGUUAAUUAUGUUUCUGGUUUUAAAACUUCUAUGUUUACUUUUUGUCGGAAAAAGAAAAAAAAAAAGAAAAAUAGGCCUAUCUGGACUUUAUUAUUAUUUUUUUGUAUAUUAGUUAUUGUUGGUCAGAUGAAUCUGUAUAUUCAUGUAAUGUAGGGAUUGGAACUUUUUUUUUAAAAAAAAAAGGAGUUUAGUAACAGACAAACAUCAGCAUUUAAAAAAUAGAGUUAAGUUACAGACAAUCAUCAGCACUUGUUGGUCUCCUCUUUUUUCCUUUCUCGCAAGCAUUCUUCUCCUUUGAGGGGAACAGCUUUCUCUACUUUUAAACCCUAGUUUACUCUAGAAAAAGCAUCUUAUUAAGCAACGCAUUCCAAGUCAAGUUACAAAAAUCUAAGGAUGGAGUCUGUAUUUAUAACCUAAAUCUUCAUAUGACUCCUAAUAUGGUAACAACUCUCAAUAACAUAGUAAUGAUCAUAACAAAAAGAGAGAACUCCCAACUGGAAAUCAGAAUGUAGAAAGAUAAUAAAAUAAACUUUACUGAAUUGGAUCAUAAGGCUUUUUCACUUAUUCCUUUCAAACUUGGUUAUUGUCUUUGCUGAUGGAUGUAUGCAAAUAAAUUUUUUUUCUUAAAAUAACUCAAAUUAAUCUUGUUGUCUGGUCAGGUGCAUGAGUACGAGAAGAGACAACCCAAAAGGUUCAUUGUGGAGGGUUGCGGUUGAGCGCUUCAACUGUGUUGUUAUUGAUGAUCUGAAAAUAGUAGUUUUGGAUCACAAAGCUGACAAGCAUGCAUAUAAACUAGCUAGGGCACGUUUAUGGAAAGAAGUCGCAGAUGUGUAUGAAAUAUUUCUUGUCGGUUCUUGUGGGCGGGCUUUAUCAACUGAUGCUCCUUCAGCAGAUGCUCUCAAGGCUGAUGAACAAAGGGAGAUGACUCUUCUCAGUGUUCUGGGUGAUGUCCUCAAAGGUCAAAUAGAUGCUCCUGCUGAGGUGAAUUCAUUAUCCUCGAUUAUCUCCUUUGUCCUUGUUUGGCCUUACCUUAGAAAGAUUUCUUAUCCGGAGUUUGGCAAACAGAAAUUUUGGGGCUCUUGCCGUGACGGGAAGCUAGAAUGAACUUUUGGGCUUCAAAAGAAUAAGCUUUAUUCCAAAGCUUCUGUUUCUGCUUCUGCUUAGGAAGUUGCUUGGGUGAAUUUAAUGAAAAAGUUGUUACUGUUACUUCAAGUAGAUCUAUCUGAUCAGCACUUCCACAGAAGUUCCAGCUGCUCCAAAUAGGCCUUUCUUCCUUUUUUCUAUCCCAUACUCUGCCUAAAACUUUGCAUUUGCAGGUACUGCAACGGUUGGUGAUGACACUUGAUCGUUGUGCUUCCAGAACAGGCUCUUUACCUCUUGAGAGUGUCGGGCUUAUGCCUUCCCAUUGCAGCAGGUUCUCACUAAGCUGCUUACAGAUGAUAUUCUCUUUAUGCAGGUAUCAUUUUAAAUUGUUUGUUCUGUUUCGAGCAUUCUGCGACUAAAAUGGAUCUCUAGGUUUAUAGAAAAAUAGAUAAUGUUUAUGUUUUUGCAGUUUUACUUCUACAGAUAGUUGGGAUCCAAAAAGAUCAGAAGUUAGCAAAGUCUCAAUUAUCAUUCUCAUGAGGAGAUGUGAGAUUAUAUUAAACCAGUUCCUAACUGAUGAAAAUGACCUAGGUACGUUUUGUAUUUGUCUAUUAUAAUAAAUAAACCUUAAAGGCUUACCUUUUUUUCCUUUUCAUAACAACCAAGUUGAAUUAUCCUGUUUUCAUUUGAUUAAUACUCUGAAUUCUGUUACAUUAUGGUUCUUUAUUUAUAUGUUUUCCUUUUGUAGGUGAACAUCAAUUGCCUAGCGUAAGAACUGAAGAAACAGUUUUUGUCCUUCAGGAGCUUGCUCGGCUAGUCAUUCAUUCUGAGACAGCUGCUGUUCUUCAAUUACCGCCUUAUCUGAAAGCAGCUCUGGAGAAGAAUGAACAAUGCAGGCGCCCUCAUUUAUUGGUUUUAUAUCCAUCUUUCUGUGAACUCGUUAUAUCAAGGUUUGACGAUUUCUGCUAUUAGUAAUGCAUAAUUUUCCAUGUUUUUUGACUUCUGUUUCCUUGCUUCAACUGUCAAAAGUUUUUACAACAUCUACAAUCACUUAUUUUGCAGUCUUUCAUUGGCUCUUUUGGUAGUGAUAAAUUGAUAGGUGCUCUCUUCCUUGUAAUAACACCAAACAUCCAAUUAGAAGUCUCCAUGUCUAUAUAGUUGCAAAGAGUUGUAGAAAGUGGUAUUGGGCAUAACAUUACUCUAGUAAAUACCUACUACAAAUACCAUGCGAGUGAUCAAAAGAAGAGAAAAAAAGAGAAAACGUACGGACUUUAAUGUACUGUAGUUUAUUUUGUGGUAGAUACUUGAACUUCAAAAGUUUUGAUUUUAUCACACGACAUUUCAUAUUUUUGUUUUGGUCUCACUGCGUCAUUGUUAGAACUAACAGUGUUUGUAACUUUUUUGAUGUAAUUUUCUAUACCCUCAUGGGAUAUUAAACUACUUGACUGGAUAUUGUACUCCACUCUUUUGACGGGAACAAUUUUCUGACAUUAUAGAGUUUUCUAAAAUCAAAAGCGAUAAAAGGUUUGGAAUCAAAAUUAAUUCUUGGUACCUAUUUCAAGAUGCACUACAGUUCAAGUAAGGUAUGUGAAUCUUGAAAAAAAGGGGGGGAAAAAGAAAAUCAACUUACUGAAUUUUUUUUGCAUAUUAACUUGAUUACUUCUUGGUAAUUCAACAGGGAAGCCAGAGUAAGGGGGCUUGUGCAAGUGCUUCUUAGACUCAUUGCAUCUGAUCUAGGGCUACAACGUUUGAUGUGAUUUUUAAAAAAAAAUCCCUUCCAUGUAAUCUUUGUAUGCGUAUCCUUUAUUAUGUUUCCUCUAUUUGGUUUAUGUUAUUUAUAUCUUCUAUGAUUCUUUGUAACAUUAUAGAAGAAAUGCAGUGGUUGUUCUUACAGAUCCAAAUCACUUGCAGUGUACUCUGUCCUUUUUCAUCCUGUCCUUUUUCUUUCCGUUCCAUUUUUCCUUAUUAGCGAACCAAAGUUGUAAGGAAUGAGGGAACGGUUUAGUCGCCAGGAAAAAGGUAUUUUCUACUGAAUUCUUUUUUGCCACAUUGAAAGUUAAAUGUUAUGAUUUCUGGUAAUUGUGCAAUCCAAAUGAAAGCUGUUUGUAGAUGUUACCCGUGCUAUGCUAUGUUUUCCAUGGAACAAUCUAGAGAAUGAAAAGCUUGGCGUUGUCUUGUAUCUUUAUAUUUUCGCCUUUUCUGUAAAUCCAUACAGAAUGGACUUGGUUUUGCUGCUUUGUAAUUUUUGUGAACUCAUGUAAAGCUAUCGAACACUGAAAAGAAGUAAUUGCAUGAUGAAGCUUCUGCGUCCGCCGCAGAGGUGCGUGGUGCGUAGCGUAACCGUAACUAGUGUUUAUAAAAAACAUGUUGAGAGGCGGGCUCCUGUUGGUGCAUUUUCGCAUUGGUGCCUCGCGAUUUUGCUCGUAUCUGUUUGGCAUCUGGACAUUUUUAUUUUGGUUUUUCUAAAACGGCAUUUCUCUUACCUUUACAAAAAAAAAGAAAAAAAGAAAAAAGAAGAGCUUGAAUCACAGUCCGGGAUGUGCAAAUAGCUGGUUUCCAUUGUGUUUUCAUCGGGUUUCUUAUCUGACCUUGAUAUGAGAUCUGUUAGAAUUAAGUUUUACGGUUUAGGUUUUGGAUCUUGGUUGGACCAAAACCUGAUCAAAUAUGAUCACAACUUGGGUAAACGUCGGAAAUAUCUUUUUCGAAAUGACCCAAAAGAUCUAGCGCUUUCUUAUCCAAGUAAUACAUUUGCAGAACCCGCAAAUUAGUCAGAUGGCUAAACUCUUGAAGGCAAUGUUCAUCAGUAUGAUCAGUCUUUUAAGAUGCUGUAAUGAAUUUAUUGAAAAAUAAGUGGAUUUGGAAUUUUCUUUUUUAGGUUAAUUGCAACAUUGGCUUGCAAUCUUUAUCCCAUUUUCUAUUUUAGGCUUAAAAUUUUAAUAUUUUACAAAUUAAGUUUGACUCAAUCACAAGUGUAAAAUUGGCCCGCUUAACUUUUUUUCUAACUUUUUUUUUUUUUAAGAAUUAAGUUGUCUACCUGCUGCACCUUAAUCCUCAAGUUUCGUACCUAUUAUUAGACGUAGGAUUCUGCAAAAUUACCCUUUUGUUUUUUAUACUUUUUUUUACAAUAAUCUGAAGAAAUUUUAUUUAUAUUUAGUUAAAUGAUUGAAUUAUUAAUUAUUUUGCCAAAUAAAUGUUUGACAGAAUUAUUAGUUUAAAUAUUUUAAAGGUUAUUUUAAAAAUAAAAAUUUGUUUCAAGAUCGUCUGACUUGAAAUUUUUUUUUUAUUAAUAGACUUAAAAAAUAUUAUAACAAUAAGAGCUUGUUUGGUUCAUCCAUUUUGGGUAUGAAAUGGGAAUUGGUUUGAUCAAAUCCGGUUAAUUUUGUUUGGUUCGCAUGAAUCGAUUUAGGAUUUCUAUUCCGGACUGGAAUGGGAAUGGCCCAUUAGUCUUCAACUUAAUUCCGGUCUUCUAGCCCGGAUUGAGAUCUCAUUCCGGAAGCCCACUAAGUUCUCGAAACCCAUGUGACCAUCUCACCCUCCUUCUCUUCACCCCUUUCUCAUCAAAAAAACAAAAAAAAUCUAUUCUCUCUCAAAAUCCUAUCUUUAAUCCACAUCAAUAAAAGUUUUUAAAAAUAAAUUUGAUAUUUUUUUUUGGAAAACUUAUUAGAGAAUAGUAUUAUAUUUUUCAUAAAUUUUAAAUAGUAUAAAUUUAUAUUUGAGAGUAAAAUUAGUAUUAUAGUAUUCUAUAAUUUUUUUAGUUUAUACGAACCAAACAAUGAAAUGUGAAUAACUCAUUCUAAUUCCCAAUCCACAAAUAAACCAAACGUUUUGGGGGAGUGGGCCAUUCCAAUUACCAUUCUAUUAUCUAUUCCAAUUCCACCCUUGAACCAAACAAGCCCUAAAAGUAGUUAGUUUGAUAAAAAAAUUUAUUUACAAAAUUAGACCUAUGCGGUGAAUGAAUUUUCGUUUUUUAAAUAUGGCAAAUCAUUCGCCGCUUUCUUUAAAAUAUUAAAAUUAUUUUUAAAAUUUAAUAUUAUAAUAUUUUUUAGAGUUUCGAUAUGGAAAAUAUAAAAGUUAUGUAAAACUAAUGAAUAAUUUAUCUAUUUCAGGAAACACCAAGGUCUAAUUUUUUGAAUAAAAAUUUUGAAUAUUUUUUUUAACAAUUAGAAAGUUCGUGGCUAGCCCGAAAAGCCCGACUGACUACUUGAUAGUCGGUGUAAACUCGAGUCGGGUCCGACCCGAACCGGCCCUCUCACGCCCCUAAAACCCUAGCGAAUUUUUUGUCCCUUUCCUCAGUUCCCACCAUCGUCCUCCCUCUCCGCUCUCUCUCUCUCUCUCUCUCUCUCUCACGCACACACACACACACACGCAUUAGUUAGUUACUGCGCGAUCCGAGGCCAUGGACUCGGCUGGUGGCGGCGCCCAUGGCGGAGGCGGAGGCGGAGGAGAUGGGUCUUCUCCGGCGGCGUGGGCGGCGGUGCUGGGCGAGGGCGUGUCGCUGGUGCUGUCGCGGUGGACGGCGCUCCAGAUGGCGGUGGAGAACGGCUGGGNGCAAGGCCGACGAUCUCGCCGCCUCCAUCCUCUCCUGGUUCGCCCAAUCCAAAGGUCCAUACAACCGGCUUCUCUUCUUCUACUGUGCAGCAUAGCAAUCAAGUUUUGGGUGUUUUUUUUUUAAUUUUUUUUAAAAAAAAAUAUAUUUAUAUAUUUAUAUAUAGCUAAAAACGUUGAAAUCGUAUGGACCUCUCGAAAUAGCCACCUCAAAGUUUAGAGAUUUGCUGAAAAAUCCGUCAAUUUUCAUUAAAAUUUCGUAAUUUUUGUUAGAAAAAAAAUACUAUUGAUUGUAUAUCACAUUGGAUUGAGAUGAUAUUUAGACGGAAAAGUUUAAAGAUAUUGUCAAAUUUUGACCCAGACGUCGUUGGUUAUGAUGACGCAUUGAUAUUAUUUGCUUCAAGAUGGGUAGCUGCUUCACUUCAACAUGUGUUAACAUUUUUGCCGUUUGUUUGGUUCAAUAUGGAUGCACAUUAUUAUUAUUAUUAUUAUUAUUAUUAUUAUUAUUAUUAUUAAUCUUACUGAUUUAGUGGUCGAAGAUAUUUUUAAUGUUCAGAUCCACAUUACAUUGAUGAACUGGAGAACAUGAUAGACGAGUGCAUGGUAAUUUCAUUCAAUGCGGAGAUUGAGGACGGGAGCGUCGAGGAGGUAAUUUCGCUAUGUCGGAAAAAGGAUCGUACUGAGUCAUGCUUGAAUUGAAUUGAUCUUUCGAUAGAACAAAUUCAAGCGAGUUGGAUUUGGGAUUGAAAUCUACGAAUUCCCUUCUCUUUUCUUUUUCUUUUUUUUUUUUCCCCUUUUCCCGUUUUGUCCUUACUAGUCAGGUUUAGGGUCCAUUGGAACUUGAAAGGGUUUCUUUGUACAAAUGGAUUUCUCAUCUUAGAAACUGAAAUUACUGCAAGUUUCAUAUCUUUAUACCUGAACUUAAUGACGGAAACCAUUAAGUUCUAACAGGACUUUAUGGAAUUCUUUGAAAUGAAAUAUAUAAAAUCAAAAUUUUGCCGUUGCGUUGUUGGACCAUCUCUCUAUCUCAGACAAUGAGGUAAUCUCCCUGAUACCGACAACUUUUUGCUCUCACCUUUUUGCUUUGAUAUUUGAUCAAAAUUAUACGAUUUUUCUUUUGUGCUAUACGUCUUUGGUGAACUUCGACAUGUGUGUUGGAUUGUUGUUUGACGACUCUUAACAUUGUUGUUAAAUGUUAUUAACAUUUAACAGGUAGCAGAGCAACUGAUGAUUAUGCACGAAGACUGUCUCAAAGGCAAUUACGAAUCAAUUGAAAAGUUGAGGAAUUCAGGUCCUCGAAUAAAUGCCGUUUCUCAAAGUAGACGGGUAAUUGCCUAACUUGCCUGCUACUUACUGCAUUUUGUUUUUUUUUUUUUUUUUUAAUUUAUUCGUCAUAGUUGAUUUGUAAAUUGCGAGGAGUUACUCAACACCACAUGCGAAAUAAGAAGAAAUCAUUUUAUAUCAGAUAUUGCAUAUGCACAUUAUCUGUUAAUUUUCUAAUGGUAGGCUGCCUUCUGUUUUUAUUCUUUUCUUUGUAUUGAAAGUACAUUAAAAGUUAUUUUAGUUCAUGAAUUUGCCAACUGACUAAACAGUAAGGAUCCUUAUUGUGAAAGGAAUUAUCUUUUUGAUUGACGUGUCUGUAGUGUGGAAGGGAAGGAAGUUGAAAUAAUUUAUGAAUUUAUUGUUGUUACUGGGCACUUAUUCCGUGUCUAUCGAUACUUUUAAGGCAGAAAUUGCACCAGGGUACCCUACCUAUAAGUAGGUUUAAGAUUUCUCCCUAAUCUUGUAAUUGCUAUGGUUGAUUGUAAUCUUGAUGCAAUCUUCUUUGUUUUUUUUCCUUUUGUUUUAAUUUUAAUUUUUUAAUUUUUUAAUUUUUUGCUUUUAAUUAUAUUCCCCUAUUUGAUUGGAUGGAAUGGCCCCAAAGUUGCGGCAUGAGAAGUUUUAAAAUUGCUUUAAUGAUAGUUAGAUAACGAUUAUUUGGAUAUUUCCAUCCAAUUUGAUUUAGGAACUUGUUCGAAAGAAUAAGAUUGCAACAAAUUACAAAGUUUAUUGACACAAUUAUAUGUAUUGACAGUUUGCUGACCAAAUUGAAGCUCUAAAACUAGGUAAAAAGUUGGACCAUUUGGUGUAAUUUACUGUAUGUUUAAAAUGGUGUAAAACAUAUAGACCUUACCUAUAACCCAUUUUUGAAAUGGGUACCUAAGACCUCGUUUGCUAUUGUUGCCACUUUUUUGGUUUGGUCCUGUUAAAACUUAACACUUUCUAUUAGAAAAAAUUACAGGAUAAUCUAACAAAUUGUGAAGGAUAGUAUUUAAAUCCAAGUAACUGCAAAAUUAGGUUGUAAAAUCAAAUAUUUUGGAAGUGUAGAUACCCAUUUCUUUUCUCAAUACAUUAUAGUUCAGGUAAGGUUUUUAUCUUUUCAAAUUCCAAAGCCUAUCGACAUUUCCAAAUUAACACAAAUGGAUUCGGAUUCUACAGGUGAUUGAUGAUAACGAGGAUGAGAGCUCAGAUGAGGAAGAGUCGGAAAUGGCGGUGGAUGAGGCCCCGUCAACAGCGAUGGCUGAGGACCACCAUCCUAAGCCGGCAAAAGCAGUCCCAGAUGAAGAAGGAUGGUCUGUCGUCGCUCCAAGGCGCAGCCGAGGUAACCGAUCAGGAUGAAGCUGGAGCCAAGAGGAUAUUACGAUACGUAGAAUGUCAUUACUGUCAUUUUUGUGGUUGAGUUUCUGGUUGGUUUUCUCUUGAAUUUUCUGUUAUAUGUAUAUGCACACUGAGUUAUUGUUGCGACAAAAUCUUUUCUUCUACUUUUUCUUUCUUUCCCUUAGUUUACCUGGUAAGUUCUUAUGUAAACUGAAACCAUUGAAAAUCCUGCUGUGAGUUGGCGCCAAUUUGGCUCAGCAAUAACUGCUUACAUAGAAAUGUUGUUUGAGUAGAAAUAUUCGAAGAAGUACAAACAAUUUUUAGGUUAGGUCUUUUCAACUGCUUCCUGCAGAAAUUGGGAGUAACUGUUAUUGGGGUGGAGGGUGGAGUGAUUUUUUAUGGUGCUUUUUUAUUAAUGCUAUCUGGAGAAGUAUCAUCUAAAAAUUUGCUUGCUUCUCUUUACAGCAAAAUUAAAAGCUCCAAAUUGGAGUUUGUGCUUUUGGGGCAUAGAAUGUCAUUUUGGCUUUCCCCCUGUAGCACAAGUUCUAAAUUUUGUUUGGUGGAUCUUCUAUUAAAGGCUAUUACUUCUAAAAGCAGAAGCAGGAAUGGUCCAAACAAGUCCUUGGAAGGAUUAUGUAGGACUAAAUUGUUUUGUGAAAUGGCUUAAAAUGAUUGUAAGAAUAACUUUUGUUGUUGGUUCUUUCAUAAUGUUUUAGCGGAAGCCAAAAACGAAAAAAAAAAAGAAGAAGAGAAAAAGUAAGAUCUCUUGUUGUACUCCAAAAUUUUUAGCUCUUGCAAACUCAAAUUUUUCGUGAUUCAAAGAUAAAAAACGAUCGAAACAAGAGAGAUUUUUAUGGACUUUUAAAAUCUAUUCCAUCGUUAUAAACUGUUGAUGUCUAGCUGACUGAUCAUAUAGAUAAAAAAUUAUAAAUUUUGGGGAGGUUUUUUUUUUUUUUUUUGUAAAAGCAAAAAGUAUUCUGUUUCUCACUAUGAACGUAUUUUUCUUCCCAUUUUAUUUGAGUUAUGCAUCUAGAGUUUAAGCAUAAUUUAUCCGCAUUGUCCGAUAUAGACGGCGCAGAUUAAUUUGGCUAAAAUUCAGGGACAAGAACAAUCCCAUGNUUGGGGAGGUUUUUUUUUUUUUUUUUUGUAAAAGCAAAAAGUAUUCUGUUUCUCUACACUAAUAUGUUUUUAAAUUCGUGAUUUUUCAUACAUGCAUCUAGAGUUUAAGCAUAAUUUAUCCGCAUUGUCCGAUAUAGACGGCGCAGAUUAAUUUGGCUAAAAUUCAGGGACAAGAACAAUCCCAUGCAUAGUGAACCCGCUUUGGUUUAUUUUAUUUUAUUUUAUUUUAUUUCAUCAGGAGGCGCAAUUAGGUCUCUUCGUGAACAUUAAACACCGAUUGAGAAGUGAGUAAGGAAGAACCUGAGAAACCCCCUAAAACCCUAAUUCCCCUCGUCCCUACUCUCUCUCUCUCUCUCUCUCUCUCUCUCUCUCCGAUCGUCCGCGGACCCCCAAGAGGAUCGUCAAAAGCUUAGGUUUGGUUGGAUGCAAAUUACUUUAUUUGUCUUCGUUAAGCAUUUGAUGUUUAGCAUUAUUUGAUUCCGAGUUGAAUUUGAUAGGGAGAGAGGGGGAGCGAUGGUGCUUAGGACUUCUGUUUUGUAUGCAUUUUAGGUGUUUGUUCGAAUGCCUCGAUGACUUUACCCUUUUUAACUAUAAAAAAAAAGUGGUCGGCUAACUUUAAAUUGAGCUAUUUAUCACUUUUUCUAGCAUUUGAAGUUGACAUUAUUGGAUUUUUAAGCAUGCCUUUUAAGUGUUUGAUCAAAUGCCUCAAGGACUUUAUCCUUCUAACUUCAAAAAAAAAGGGUUGGUUAAAUCUACGGCGUCGUAAUUUGAUAUACCGGCAAAAGGAUUUUUCUCUUGUUGUCAUGGUUAGUUAGCUUGUGCAAUGCACCUCGGCUAACUGAGGAAUUACAACUUCUUUUAGAAAAAUCUUGAAAGCCAAACAAAUGUUUCUUCCAAGUUUUUGUACUCUAUUGCCUAAUAAAUAAGUUGGACGUAAGGGAUUGCAAGCAUUUCACCAUUCCCUCCCUCACUAUUUCAUGCCGAAAUUCUAUUAAAAAAAAAAACAGCAAUGAUACUAAACAAGGCCUAAAUUGCUUUUAUUAUCACUGUCUAGAACUUGAACUUGGCAUUAUUGGAUUCCAAGAGCUGAAUCUAUUGGAGAGGAUGUCCAUGGUUUCAGUUAUGUAGGCAGUAGGCGUACUAGACGUUUGUCAAAGUGUCCAAGUGACUCCUCGCCCGCUUGAUCUUAAAGAAGCAGGAUCAUAGCAAUCAAGUGUUUCUCUUAUUAAUGGUUUUAAUCUGAGAGUGGAACCAACAAUAGCGUUGUUUUGUAAAAGUUCAUAUCUAUAUAUGCUAAUGAUGACGCGCAUAUUUGGAUAUUUUGCAUUUUUGACCUGUUUUUUUUUAUGCCAUGCAGGCUGAUCAUGGGUUCACUAAGAAUUGGAUUUCUUAAGCGCUUGAACGAGGUUUUAACACAGCCUCGAACUUCAUUUGGUGGGUAUAUACUUUGGGACUUCUCCUUACGGAUUAUCAUUAAACUUUUGCAUGAUUAUCCAUUUUCAUGUCUCAUACAUAUCAAAUAGAAAGGAGCAUAUCUUUUAAAUAGCAAAUUAUCUCGCAUAAAACCUCUACUAUAAGAUCAUAUAUAUUAACCGAAAACGUAUAAAUUGUUACUUUGCUUUCUGUAGGCAUUCAUAGAAGCUUAAAAGCAUGGAACUCCACCAUGUCAUUUGAUGAGUUUGCAGAGAAGAAUGACAUGGACGAUGAUGAUGAUCCUAUAGUUGACAAGAGAAACUUGGAACCCCAAAGUGUUGAUCCAAAAAAAGGUUGGAAUUUCAGAGGUGUGCACAAGGUACCACUCUCGUACCAAAAGAAUGCUAGAUUUGAGCUGUAUAUGCAACGAAGGAUAGGUUAAAAAUAAUUUUAUUCCUUGAAGUUUGAGCCAAAUGCAAUUAUGUUCUUGGUACUGGACUUUUGGCUACUAGUUCCUAAAACUUGUCUUGCAGUAAGUCCUUUUUUAGUGUUAUUAGGUUUUGCUCAUGUGGCAUUAGUGGGUGCAGAGGAACCUUGGCAUUAGUGGGUGGAGAGGAACCUUGCUUACCAUUUUGAAGACGGAAAAUUAGUGGAAGGACUUAAUUGUCAUGCAGAGCCAACUUUAGGGAUUAAUUGGUUAAAAUUGGAAGCCUGAGAACGAAUUCUAUUUGGAUCUUCAGGGACUAAACUUGUAACUAACCUUGUAAAACUCUUUAACUUUUGUUGACAUAAACAUUUUUCCUUUUUUUCUUUUUUCUUUUGAUGGGGUAGGCAAUUAUUUGUGGCAAAAUUGGGCAACCUCCGCUGCAGAAAAUAUUGAGGAACGGUAAAACCGUCACUAUAUUCACUGUUGGAACAGGGGGUAUGUUUGAUCAAAGAAUUAUUGGAGGAGAGAACCUUCCAAGGCCAGCACAGUGGCACCGAAUAGCAGUUCAUAACGAGCAACUUGGUGCAUAUGCUGUUCAGCAAUUAGUGAAGAAGUAUGUAGGGUUGUUUCACAACUGAAUUUGUUUGUGAUACUUCUUUCUUGAGGUUCUCUCUUACUUAGAUAUCGUAACUAGACCAGAGUAAAACUGGCCAUACUUGUCCAACCUAGUCCGCUGGGCCUGGUUUUUUGUGGGUUGGAUCAAGCCAUGCCAAGGUCAUGUGGUGGAGCCUGGUCUCAAAAUGAGAGGGCCACUAAAAUUGGACUGGGCACGGGUAUUCCAUUUCCUUAUGCUCAGCCCCGGUCACUAGGGUUGGCUAAGGUGAUUUUGGACCAGCCUUUGACUUCAAGUAGCUAUAAAAACAUUUCAGGCCUGGCAAAUUUUACCCAGCCCGAAACCUGGCCCAGGCUUUGCUCAAGUCUAAUUACAAAUUUGGGGUUUUACUUAUGUAUCUCUCUGAAAUAAUCUGUUUAUGUACACAUCCCUCUAAAACCUGAAUUUUCAUAUAUACCCCUUGGAAGUGCAGAUUGUUACAAUAUCUUCAGUGUGGGGUUCAUUCAAUUCAUUGGGUACGCUGGCUUUUUGUUAGAAAAGUUUUAUUCUUGAAAGCAUUCAGUAAGUAAAAUAGAGCUUAUAUUGGGUACUUAUGAAAAUUCAAAAUUUUCAGGGAUAUACGCGUAAAUAGAUUAUAUUUUAUGGGAAGUACUCAAAUAUUUCUAGAGGUUUAAUCAUAUAUUUGGUUUUCAUUUUCCCAUAUCUUCUUGACUAUUUCCUUUUAAUCUUUUGGUGCCCCUUCAGUUCUGCAGUUUUUGUUGAAGGGGAUAUUGAGACUAGAGUUUAUAAUGACAACAUCAAUGGUCAAGUAAAAAAUAUACCUGAGAUAUGCGUGCGACGUGAUGGUACGUUAGUUACUCUCUUUAACGAGAUUUUUUUUUUAACCUUAAUAUUCUUAUUUCAUUUAGACCAAUUUGAUAUACAUUUUGCCCAGGCUCUGUUUUUUUUAUAUCCAUUAACUUCAGUUUGAUUUAUACUUCACAAUCUAAACAUCAUAAAUUUAUUUUGCGUUACUUAAUUAUUUAUAAGCACUAGGCCGAAGAAAAGUUUAAGUUGGACAUGCUUAUAAACUCAGCAUGGUACUGUUAAACUUUCUUGAUUACUAAAGCAUGUCUUGAUCUAUAAACCUUUGGGGUUGUGAAAAACAAUCCGGGCAUAUAGUUGAUGUUUAAAUUACCAAUUGCAAGAUAGCUAGUAUGAAUACUCAAAUGUUUUUGCAAUAUGUCAUUUUAUUUUCUGCUCAUUCUUGGAUAUUUAUUGAUACACUGCUUUGUUUCCAUUUUCAUUCUAAACAAGAUAGCUCAUCAAUUUUUUUUUUUUUGCUUUUGUCCAUUUUUAUCUAAACGGUACAUCAUUUAAAAACUUGUACCUUUUUGCAGGCAAGGUUCGUUUGAUUAAAUCUGGGGAUGUUGCUUCCAGUAUAUCAUUGGAUGAGCUAAGUAUGUUCGUUUUCAAAACUUUUCUUCUGGUUUUUAGCCUAACUCUACUUUUCCUCUAAUUGAAAUUUCAAUCUCUAGAGGUAAUCCAAACAUCUAGGCUAUCCUUGGCAGUGAAUGUUGGAAAUGUUUUAAUAAUUAUUCUUAUUGGUUGUGUUGCUGAAUAGAUUUAUUACUGGAAGCAAUAUAUGACAUUUCAACACCGUUAUUUUGUUUACUUUUGACUUAAACAAUUUCUAAUGAAUAAGCAAAGUUGGUUCUUGUUGCUUGUAUGCACCUGACAUUAAAGCUUAAAGCAUUUCAGUACUGUAAGAUUAUCAUGUUAUGAGAUUGUUAAAUGGAAUCAGGUACUUCUAAUUCAUGAAAAAUUCAUUGCGCACAAACGAGAGUAGAGAUAUAUUUGUUCCGAUAGCAUUUCGUUGAUAAUUGCUCUCGAGUUACAAUAACAUAUCACUUUAUGGUGGCAGGGGAUGGAUUAUUCUAAGUGGUUCCAGCCGGUUAAACUUGCCUACUGUAUCACUUCAAGAAUUAUGUACUAGAAGGUCGAUCAUGGCUUCAUCGACCUGAAUUAUGAUCUUGUUUUUCUCCUCUUAUGUCAUACGUUCCAAUGGGAGAUUUGUGAACACUUACAAGCCUCUGGCAAAAAGAUAUUUUUAAGGUAACGUAGGUUAAACUUCUAUUCUCUUGUGUCUUCUUUUAGGACUUCUGCAAAAUCGUCUGCUUGCAUAUCUACUGCUAUAAUAUCUGAAUUUUCACGUAUAUCCCUCGAUAGUGAAGUUUGGUAUUUCCAUAUGUGCCCUUCCAAAGUGUGUGUGUAUAUUUAUAUAUAAACCCUACCCUAUCAGGGUUAUAUGCGUAAAGACAUUUUUUUUGGCAAAUAUUCAGGAGUAGUCGUGGAAAUACCUAAAACUAGUAGUACAUAGUGAAAUAAAUAUUUCACACUGUAGGUAGGUGAAAGACUGCGGUCUGAUUCUGGUCAUUCGGCUCUUAUCAUAGAAAGUUGAAAUAAUUUAGAAUCCCGGAAGCAAACGCCGCAAUUUGAAGCUCUGUCUGUCUUCUCUGUAGCUGAAAGCUGCUAAGGAGAAUAUUAAUGAAAAAGGUUGCUAGUGCUUUUUCCGAAGCCUUUGUUUCUGCUGCAGGGAGGGGCAUAGGGGGGGGGAUGAUAUUAAUGAAAAAGCUGUUUGUUUCUUCUUCGUAUAAUUGCACUUCUAGAAGCACUUCUCCUGAAGCUCCAGGCCCUCAAUUACUGAAGGAAGGAAAUCAUACAGCAAGCCAAGUGACCAGCUAUGAAAGCUAAAAUAGAUCAGAUCAUUUUUGUGCUUCACCAAGUGUCUCUCUCCACUAGGAAUUUUGCUACUAUGAGUACUCAGCUAGAGAUGUAAGUGGAUUUGGGUUGGUGGAGAUCCCGUGCCAAUCGGGCCGAUAAGUGUGAGCCAAAAAUAAGAAAAAAAUAAUCUGCCUCAAAUUUGUCCUGAUCAGCUAAGAAAUAGAGUGGGAGGCGGGGACUUUUAUUUCUUCCUUUGAUUCAGAUCCGUCUAAAAUCCGCUUCAGUCUUAUUACCCCAUUCUUAAUGAAGCGGCCGGUAAGUGGGGAAAAAAGUAGAGUAAAAUUCAAUCCGCUCGGAAUCCGUCCCAACCUAUCAAGAAAAUGGCUCCCUCCCGUUUGUAUCCCAUUCACUUUAAACUUUUUCAGUAAUAAAUUUGUUUCCUCUUUUCUCCAAAAAAAAAAAAAAAAGAAAGAAAGAAAAAGGAAUUCUUUGUCGGCACGUUAUAGGAUCUCCCCCAACAAAUUGCAAUUUGGUUCCUAAUUUAUCAUUUAAACAAAAGAGUCCCUUAUUUUAUCUAUUUAGGUGGAAUGCAAGGGACCACAUUGUGAUUCCUCAAUGGUUUGGAUACAGUUCUUACAUUUUUGUCAUACACUUUGUAGUGCUUUUUAUGUAUAUAUAUAUAUAUAUAGAGAGAGAGAGAGAGAGAGAGAGAGAGACGAGAGAGGCUGGUAGAUGCGUUAUGGAAGCACGGAAGGUUCCGUGCUUCCACUUUGUUUUCGAUGUCGUCGACUUUCGAAUCGACGAUCGGCUCCGUUAGAUUUGAUCUAGAGUAUUUGAAGUUUAUCUAGAAAUAAAUUUUGUGAUUUUUCAAUAUAUUGCUUAGUGAUCGAAGUGGCUCAAAAUCAACGGCUGAAAAUAAAAAUCUUACAAAUAUUAUGAUAUGACAUUAAAAUUUUAGAUCAAAGUUAUUGAUCUUGUUUUAUUGGAUAUAAGAAUUUUCUAUUAAAAUUUCAUGUGAAUUUGGAUAUUUCUACAUCUUUAAACUUGGCAACUGGCUCACCACGGCCAUUAAAAUUAUUGAUUUUGAGCUCCUUCGAUCACUAGGCAAAUGAUAUUGAAAAAUCAUAAAAUUUAUUUUUCAGGUACUUCAAAUACUCUAGAUCAACUCUAACGGAGCCGAUUGUCGAUUCGAAAGUCCGAAUAUCGAAAACAACUUGGAAGCACGGAAGCACUGAAGGCUCCGUGCUUCCAUAAGCAUACCAGCCCACUAUAUAUAUAUAUAUAUAUAUAUAUAAAACAUGACACUUGAUAUGGGGACCAUUUUGAUUCUUUGAGGACAAAUCAGAGUGGGGCAUUGUAACCUGAACCUAUCAAAAGAUAAAGGUAAAUUUGAAUUUAAAUCCUAGUACUUGGUACCAAAUCUGCAGGUGAGUUUCUGGGCUUUUUUGUAAAAAAAAAAAAAAUAAUAAUAAUUUGGGUUUGUGUAGAGUAAUAUAAGAUCUCAAUUGAUUAAUGGCUGUUGAUAUAUGUGAGGUCGAGAUUUAAACUCCAUUAUAUAUGUUGUAAAAGAGAAAGUUGGUAGGUAGGAAAUAUUUGCUUAAUAAAUAGGCUUUGCAACCAACUAACACCAAUAAUAGAGUAAGGAAUAAGUCAAUCCAGGUGCAACCACUUCCUGCAAUACUGGCAAUAGUUCUUCAGUAGGAAAAUGACAUGAUUUGACAACCAUCAACUUUUAAUUAACUUCUGGUCUGGGAGCAUAAAGAUAAACUUUUGUUCAGCCUCUGAUGAAAGCACUGGUUUCAGUUUGAGAAGAAGAUCAAAUCGAGAAUUGAGCUCGGAUAUUAUUAAAAAUACGAAAUAGUCAGUGCUCUUAAUUAGUGCUUCUACUUUUUCGCAUACUGAAUCAGAGGCUCAACAGAAGUUUAUCUUUAUCGCAUGUUUAGUGCUUCCACUUUCACACAUGUUUGGUCAGAGGCUUGAAUCAGUUUUAAGAUCCUCAGGUGUCAGCCUCAGAAUGCAAGCUUGCACAAUGUGUCACUUUCAGUAAUUCCAAAUUCAAAAUAUCAAGGCCAAUCAGUCAAUUUCACACUUCACACCAGCAAUUUCCUCUAACAGAGGAAGUAGCUCAUUUAUUUCAUGGAAAAUUUGGAUGAGAGAAGAAGACAUAGAAGCCCACAUCAGAUUGAAAUAGUUCUGUACAAUGCAUCAGAAACUAAAGCCACAAAGAAAAAAGAAGAAAAGAACAAGAAAAGAAAAUUCUAACAAAGUGAGAAUAUCUAUAAGAAGGAAAUCAAAAAGGCCAUGAGAAUUAGAUCAAACCUCUCUUUAGUCUUUAACAACAUCAAACACUUUUAAUUAACCAUACUCAGAAAAGGAUGCUGAGGGCUCAUCCCCUACCUGCGAAGAAUUGCUCGUCGACCGCCCGAACUUACUCGACAUGUCUCCCGAUCUCCGCCGCAGCAUCUGCCGCAUGCCGUCGGCCACCCGCACCGCGGGGUUCGACUUGAUCCUCCUGCAGAAGGCCAUGUGGGCUCUCAUGGCCUCCUCCACCCCCUGGCCCUUCCUCCUCCCCUUGCCGAGCUCGUCUCUCACCGCCUCGGAGCACAGCCCACAGAGCCAUUUCUCAUCAAAGUUUGCCUUCACACUGUCAAUGUACUCCUGGGUGCAAUCCUCUCUCAGGCCACAGCACUCACACUUCACUGACUCAAUCUCCAUGGAUAUAUAUGGUAGUUAUGUGUUGAGUGUUGGUUUUGUUGUGGAAAGUGUUUCAGUGGUGUGGGUUUGUAUAGGAAGGAGGUUUUUAUGGUUGAGGCAAAGGGCAGGGUAGUUUAAUUAGUUAAUAUGUGAGCUGUGCUAUAGUUUCUUUUUGCUUCAUGUUACAACUUACAAGAGAGAGAGAGAGAGAGAGAGAGAGAGAGAGAGAGGGGACAAAGUUAGUUGGGGACCUCAUGUAUUGGCCUUUUCCAAACAUUUGAAAUUUAAUGAGGAGGUGAGUGGAAGGAGGAGAUGGGGUGGAUUUGGGGAAUUGGAUUCUUUGUACCUAAAUGUCACCUUUUUAUUUUGUCAUCUCUCUCCAUAAUUUGUUUUUUUAAAAAAAACAUUUUCUUUUUAACUUUGCUGAGAUGGCCUUUGGCUUGGCUUGUAAACUAAAGCUUGGGUGUUGAGUGCUAAUUUUUUUGGAUUUGCCUUGGCCCAUUGAAUCUUGACUAAGUGGUAUGAUUGAUAUUUGUGUGUUGAUUCUAUCUCUUAGAUUAGAAACAUUAUCUUUUUAUAUGAAAAAUGUCACAUGUACGUUCAAAAAUAAGUGAAAAUUUUACACUUCUCCAUCGAAUAGCUAAUAUUCUAUACUAGUUUUAUCAAAAAAAUUUCAAUAUUAAAAAUCCAAAAAGUUUCUUUAGACGUUUGUAUUGAAGUGCAAAAUUUACGUCCACUUUUUAAAUAUAAAAGUAGCAUUUUUUUUUUUAUAUAAUAGAUGACAUGAUUGAGAAUCAUUAAUUAUUUUGAGUAGUUGGAAACUCUUAAUAGGGUUUUAACGUUUCUUUCAAAGUGCAAUCCUAAUAGUCAAAAUUAGUACAAUUUUUCAGCAGUUAGAAAGUAAUUUGAUAGGCUUUUGUCGUUCUAUGGUUCAAAAGUUAUAUUUAAAUAUUAUGUGCCAUAAAAGAUUUUACUUUAUUAUCCUAUUUGAUAAUAAAAUAAAAUUAGUACAAUUUUUCUCUUCGGAAUUAUAGGAUGACAAACUAAAAAUAAACUAAACCACAUAGAGUGAAAUUAAAGUUUAUCUUUUUAAGCCUAAAGGGUUGUUUGUUUCAAGGUUUAUAACAUAUCAAAAAUAUUACAUAUUUUAUAUUUAGAAUAGCAAAUUUGUUACUAAUUAAUCAAGCCACUUUAGUUUAAAGGUUGUUUAAAACUAGCGUAUUCUUAUUAAUGGACUAUAUAAUAAUUUAAAAUUUUUUAAUAUAAAAUAUAAAAAAAUUAUCGAAAUAUUACAAGCCAUGAACCAUGCUAAAUAUAAUGAUAGGAUGCAUUAUAUGAGAAGAUAUAUAUCCAAGAAAUCAUUCAUUUAUGAUAGGGACCAGCAACUAAUCUUUGAUAAGUAUCAUUAACUUAUAUUUUAUUCUUCUUUAACAUGCAAUGAUUUGAUUCAUAUUCAUUAGAAAGCAAUGAUUAGUGUUAGAUUUUGCAAUCUAGUCUAAAAUGGGUUUUUUUUUUUUUUACUAUUAUUUUCUUUCUCCACUUUAUUUUAAUAUUUUCUCUUUUGGUUCACAAAUAAAUAUUUCUAAACUUAGGGGACCCAUAACUUUACUCGUCUUUUUCACUCGAUUUAAAAUUUUGGAAUAGCCAUAAAAUUUAGAAAAGAAUAUUUUACUCUUCAAAAUUAAAUUUCUUUAAAAAAACAAUACCAGAGGAUGAGGUGGAUUUUUAAAUCCCAUGAUUUAAAAAAUUAUACAAUUUUAUAAAAAAAUUAGUUUCUGCUACGCCGCAUUCUUUGGAUAAAACAAAUAUAUGAUUCUACAAUUCCAACCCUUCACUGCAAUACAUCAUAAAAAAUAGGGUAAACUUUAGCUACCACCUCCAUGGUUUUGCAGUUUCUCACUUUAGUACCCUAUGGUUUAAAGUGUAUCAAAUUAGUGUCAUGUGGUUUUAUUUUUUUUUCGUCAGCUUUUCUGAUAAUAUUUUGUUAAAUUAUAUGCAAAAAAAACUUCAGAUAUCCCACCUAGAUUUAUUGAAUAUUCACUUCAGUAUUCUUUAGUUUUAACUUUAUCAUUGAUUUAACGAAAAAAAUUAGUAUAAUCGAUAAUAAAAAGAUAAAAAUAAAAUCAUAUAUCACUAAAUUGAUACACUUUAAACUAUAGGGUACUAAAGUGAGAAAAUGUGGUAUUUGAAGUUUUUCCUAAAAAUAUCGUGAGCCAAAGAUGCUUCUCCUCACUGCUGACGUGGCACCUCCUCGUAAUUAAAAAGAAUAUACAUGCUGAUGUGGCACCACCGACAUUAAAAAAAAAAAAAAAAAAAAAAAAACGCGUUAUACUACCUCACUAGUUUUGGACAAACAAACAAAGAGAAAUAUAACUACCACAAAUAAUAAUAAUAAAAUUAAUUAACAUAUCACAUGCACGUACGUAGUAACCAGUUGGAGGAGGAUGAGUCCAUCUCGGACUUUUUUCGAAAAUAACCCUAUGAAAUUUUGUAAUUGGCAAAAUAACCCUCUGAAAAUUUUAUUUAUGAAACUAACCCUCCUCUCGCCACCUCAGCCGCCACCUCAGCAUUUCUCAUAAAGACGGUGACUCGUUCACCGUCUUUAUUGAAGACGGUAAAUGAUUCACCGUCUUCUCUAGGCGUGGACCCUUCACCGCCUUCUCAGCAAUUCCCCGCGUACCAGCGCCUUCGCAGCAAUUCGACGAGAAGACGGUGACUCGUUUACCGUCUUAACAAAGGCGGUGAAUCGUAUACCGCCUUAUCUAGGCGUACACCAUUCGCCGCCUUCUCAGUGUUGCCCCCGCCCAAAUAAGACGGUGACUUGUUCACCGUCUUUACUUAAUCUUGAAGACGGUAAGUAGUUCACCGUAUUCUCUAGGCGUGGAACCUCCACCGCCUUCUCAGCAAUUCCCCGCGUAUCACCGCCUUCUCAGCAAUUCGCCGCGGAGAAGACGGUGACUCGUUUAUCUCUUUAAGAAAGACGGUAAGUCGUUUACCGCCUUAUCUAGGCGUAAACCAUUCACCGCCUUCUCAGCAAAUCCCCCCGACAGCUGGGGGCAUAGAUAAGAUGGUGAAUAGUUCACCGUCUUACUUAAGACGGUAAAUUGUUCACCGUCUUUAGUGCAACCCUUAAGACGGUCAAUGGUUUACCGCCUUAUCUGAGCAAGUUUACCGUCUUCAGUGUAGAACUCCACCCAGCCUAAUUUCGCCAAGUCCUCGAGAGAUACCGUCUUCAGUGUAAAACUCCACCCAGCCUAAUUUCGCCAAGUCCUCGAGAGAGGGGCUAAAACACAGAUAAGACGGUGACUCGUUCACCGCCUUAACAAAGCCGGUGAAUCGUCUACCGCCUUAUCUAGGCNAGAGAGUUAAGAGAGAAAGAGAGCGAAGAGUGAGGGAGAGGUGUCGGGGCUUCGGGUAUACCUAGGUAAGACGGUGAAUUGUUCACCGUCUUCAUUAAACAACAUUAGAGACGGUGAACGAUUCACCGCCUUACUUUGGCCCACUCCUAGGGGGUUACCAAUAAAGACGGUGAAUAAUUCACCGUCUUUACUGCAGCACAAAUAAGACGGUAAACAGUUCACCGUCUUAUCUGUGUUUUAUGUCUCCAGGACUUGGCCAAAGUUGGGGGGUGUUGUCCUGACCGAAGUUGAGGGGUGUGUACCGUCUUAAGUAAGACGGUGAACUGUUUACCGUCUUAUCGAGGGCACAGCAGUUCCAAAGGGGGUUGUAUUCGCUCUAAAGACGGUGAUGUAUUCGCUCUAAAGACGGUGAAUAGUUCACCGUCUCAUGAAGGCGGUGAACCAUCUUCCGUCUUCAUGAGAAAUGCGCAUAGACGGUGGACGAUUCAUCGUCUUUACGAAAAAAAUCCGACCUGGCGCCGACGUGGCGAAAGGAGGGUUAGUUUUACAAAUAAAAUUUUCAGAAGAUUAUUUUGCCAAUUAUAAAAUUUUAAAGGGUUAUUUUCGAAAAAAGUCCGUCCAUCUCCAUGUGAGAUGUGUAGAGUAAAUCAAGCUCUUCUUUUUCUCUUCUUUUGUGGUUGGAUGGGGCCGCACGUGGAAGGCCGUGGCACGUGCGUGACGUUGCCCCAAUAUCCGUAAAAAAAAAAAAAAAUGCUGUGUGAAUCGAGUUGUUCAAAAAUACAUGAAUAAUUAUUUAAUUAUAGUACAUUGUCAGGACAAUAUAUCUCAUUCUAAACUUUCUGUGGUAAUGAGAAUGCAUUCGUUUUGAUGUUUCAGCUCACAAAAAAAAGUGAGAGUGCUUUAAAUAGCGAGAAGCACCUCCACAAAAAAGAAAAGCUAAUGUAAUGUUUAUUUUUUAUUUUUUAUUUUCCUAAUCUCAGCAUUAAAGUGAGAUUUGUCCCUUGUAUCUAUCUUCGUGGCCAUUGUCACACCGAUAAAUAGACCUUAUUUAAUCAGCAGUUAGGGCAAGUACGGGCCCAAGUUUGGUCCAUGGUGGAUUGUAACAUGUUGCGUGUGCCCCGCAACUGCUUCGGAUUUUAGGGUUGAUUUGGUAUUGGGGGGAGACCAUGUGGGAUUGAUGAUGAUGAUGAUGAUGAUGAUGAUGAUGAUGAUGAUGGUGUUAAAUGCAAAUUUGGACCUAGGGUUUCAAGUUGGAUUUUUAAUUGCAAUAAUUUAUUUCACAAGCUUUGUUCUGCGUCGAGUGACGAUUUAGCAAAUUAAAGAAAGAAAAAAAAAAAAAAAAAGGUCUAAUAAAAGUUUUGACUGAAACAGAAACUGUAAUUUGUAGCUUCUCUCUUUUUUCUGAACAGUUGCACUAAAACACAAAACACUUCCGAAGAAGCACACUGGUAAUUAAUUUGGAUCAAAAGAAGCCCUAACUAGAGAUUCUUAGUUCCAUCUUAAAAUUUCACAUCUAAUUGUUGGAUCAGGGACUCUUUGAGUUAUGGGAUGUGGGUGAUGAAAUUAGUAAGUUUAGUCUUUCUAAUGAUAAGGCCUUUGAAAUUGAAAGGCUCUCAAACAUUUGUCCAAAAGCUGAAUAAUUGCUCACAUGGGAGUUGCUAAGGCUACAAAGAAUAAUAAGAGAGUGAUAGACCUUAUUUAUUGUGCCCUCUACUUACUUAUUUAAUGCUACCAAAUAAAAGGGGGGGAAAAAAAAAAAAGAAAGAAAGAAGAGAAUAAAUUUUUUUUUUUUUUAAAAAAAGGGGAUUAAAUUGCACCCCCACAUGCUCUUGUUGUUGGAGACAUGGGAUUACCACCAACCAAACUCAACCAACUUACUAAUUCCCACCACCCUAAUCAUUAAGAUGAUACAUAUUUAAAUAGAAGUGCCCCCAUUGAUUCAUUGACUACUUGAGAUAAGAAGAUUGGUAGACUCACUCAGGCAUGUUUUUUUUUUUUUUUAUUUGUGAUUAAUAGUCAACAGUUUAAUUUUUACUCUUUGAAAGAUCUUAACAUCUAUAAUUUGAUAGACUAGUAUAUUUCACUUAUGGUGUAAUUUAUCUUAUUCCGCAAAAAUGAUUUGACGACGAAAUAUAGUGUCUCAUUCUAGAUAUUUCAUGACAACUCUCAUCUAUUUAAUACUACAAGCUUCUUGAGUAAAUUAUCUUAUUCGGCAUAUCUCUUUUAUUUACUCAAGAAGCAUGUAGCAUUUGGUAGAUAAGAAGUAUGAUUAAAUGUCAAAAAUGAAUACUGUAUUCAGCCUUCAAAAAAUUUUUCAGAAUAAAAUAAAUCAUGUUGUACGUAAAAUAUGAUAUCUUAUCAAAUCAUAAAUGCUAAAACCUUCAAAGAACCAGAAAACAAACUCGUAACUUUCAAUCACACAAGAAAAUCUUCAUAUCAAAUAAAUAAUCAUUAGAUUUCUUAUUCCGACAUCCAAACAAAACUUUGUUCUUCUUAUUCCUCCACAAAUAAAAAAGAUUAGGCUCGAUCUAAACGUUGAAAUGAGAUAUCUAAUAAUAAGUUAGUUUGGUAUGCAAAUUUUUUCGCAUGAUCCGAAGUUAAAAGUUUGAUUUUUGCUCGUUGAAAUGCCUCAACUUAUGAUUUGAUAGAAUUACAUAUUUCACUCACAUCGUGACUAAUUUUAUUUUUAAAAAUGACUUGAAUAUCGAAGAUAUUAUUCAUUUUAAACAUUUGAUGACACUCCUCAUCUAUCACAUACUACAAGCUUCUUAAGUAAAUGAAAAAAUAUGCCAAAUAAUAUGUUCAUGUAUCCAAAUGUGUAGAAUGAAUAACAUAUUCAACCGUCAAGUCACUUUUUUCAGAAUAAGACAAAUCACAUCGUAGGUAAAAUAUGUAAUCCUAUCAAAUUAUGAAUGCCAACAUCUUUCAACGAACGAAAUUUAAACUCCUAACUUUCACCCACACAAGAAAAACUUUAUUCUGAACAAGAUAUUAUCAGAUAUUUUAUAAUGACAUCUAUACAUGGCUUCAGGAUAAUCCUUCCAAUAAAAGGAAUCAUUCCAGGAUUACCUGGGACCAAGUAUUCUAACCUACCUCUAUAAUAAUCAUGUAAUAGUAAUAUUACCCUCAUUCAAUAUCUAUUGGUUUCUAUUAUCAUUAUAUAGAUAGUACUGUGAUUGUUAGUUAUCUCUACAAUUUACAAUCAAAUGUAAAAUUAUUCUGAAUAAUGAAGGACAUAAUUAGGGAUAAAAAUCAUCCUGCAUAAUUUUGACCCCUAUAUAUCAGAGGUGGGGUCUUAAGUACUGCAUUAUGCAAGUUCACCAACCAAGUAAUGGAGACUGAUGAACAUAACAUGUUAUACAUGUUAUGUUGCUAAAAGGACAAAGAACAAAACCAUGUGCAUAUGAAAGAGAAAGGGACAGUAUUAGAUGCAACAUGUAGGGAGAGGGGUAGUACACCUGAUGCUAGAGAAAAGACAACUUAUUAAAAAAAAAAGAAUUAUAAAUACACAAGUGCACCACAAAUCCAUAAAACUUCAUCUAUUUCAUAUUAUCAAUCUAAGUGUCCAACUCUGGAAGUUAAAAAAAAAAAAAAAAAAAAAAAAAUAAAAUAAAACUUACAACUCCAUGUGUAACUGACAUUGAAAUAUGAAAUCAGAUUAAAGGCUGAUAGACAUGUAGUGGAUGAAUUAUACAAAUACACUUGGAAUGCAAUAUUUUUUUCUCGACCAAGUUGUGAUGACAAGGUUUGAGGGUUUGGAACUCAUUCGGUACUGAGAGCUAUUUAAUGUAUUGUGCCGAAAGGAGUUGGAGCAAUCAUAGAGAGAAAUGCUUCCCUAUUCCUACCAAGACCACAAAAACCAUAUCUAAUCGGAUUGACGUGUUAUUAUUUACAAAAAGAAACAAAAUAUUUUUCUAUAUUAUACUUUUUCACUACACGUAAUAUAUUUAGCCUGCAACCUCAAAUAAAGCCUUGAAGUGAAAUUUCUAAAUACUCAAGAAUCGAAUGUCAAACUUAAAAGUUUGAGAAUCGAAAUAAAGCUGGGCUAACAAUUUGGCAAGAUUUCCCCUCAGAAAAAGCUCCUCUCUAUGCAGAUAGAUAUAAAAUCUUUGUAUCAAGUCAUUGACGAAAAAACGAGACUAGUUAGAUAAAAUCCAUAAACAUGCUGCUACGAUUUUCAUUUUCAUUUCUUUUUUUUAAGCUUCUAUGAUUUCUUAGGUGGUAUUAUUAUUAUAAAAUAUAAAAAGAAAACUGAAUCACACUUAAAUAACAGAUAGAACUCUGUCCACUCAGACUUCACAUGCCUGGUGGUGUCUCCUGCACCAACUUGCACGGCCGAUCAGGAGGCGUACGAGGGCUUUUUCUCAAGAAAACCCUUCAAAAGUUUAGAUUUGAUAAUACAAACUUUCAAAAAUUUUAUUUGGCCAUAUAAUCCUUCUCUUGCCAUCUCAGUCUAUUGUAGAUGAAAAGCAAGAAAAAUUAUUAAGGCUACACUGCUUUUAUUAUAAUUGCCAAUUGAAAAGUGCUGAAAGAAAUGAACGCUAAAAAUGAUAAAUGAUUCACUGCCUUUGUCAAGUAGAAAAACAAAGGAACACUAAAAGUGACGAAUGAUUUAGUGCUUUUAUCAUAAUUUUCAGAAUGUUAAAAGCGGUGAACAAUUUACCGAUUUCGAAUUGUACGCAAAUAGAAACAUUGAUAAAAUGAUAAAUUAUUUACCGCUUUUCAGAAAGUAAGCUGCUUUCUCCCUAUUUCAUAAAAUCCCAAUAUAUAGCCUAGGAAGUAUUGAUGUGGAAAAAAAAAAAGAUUACAUCCCUUAAUAAAUUUUGGAGGGAGUUGGCUCACUAAAUAUAAAAAUUUUAAAGAUUAUUAUGAAAAAAAAGCUUAACGUACAGCGGCGCUGUGAAAAAGAAAAAAAGGUAAAACAUGUAUGGAGAUCCCCUCGAUUAACUUUUUCAAUUGGUAUCCCUUUAAUUCUAAUUUUUAAAUUUGAAUUUUUAUAGUAAGAUAUUAGUUAAGUUGAAAUUUUUGUUAAAUUUUCAUGAGCUGAUUAGAUAUUAGCAUUUCCUUAACCCGAUUUUAUUCACUUGGAUAGUAGUUUAAAAUAUCAAUCAGUUUGGUAAAAUUUCUAAUUUAUUUUGUUAAAAUCAGUCAAUUCAAAAAAAAAAUCAAAAGUUGAAGAGGUCUCAAUAAAAAAAGGUUAUUUUAGAAUGGCCUACAGCUGAAGGGGUCUCCAUAUAUUUUUACCAAAAAAUGAAAAAAUAAUUUACAUAUCUUUGUAAACCAUUGGUAUCUCAAUGCUUAAGACACUUGAAUGGGUUGUGGGAGGAUUGUAAAUUUAAAUCCCUUCCAUAGACCCUUUUUUCCCUGCUUAUAGAUCCUUUACCUAGCACCCCCAAUACAUACUAACCCGAAGUCAAGGAGACGGCUUUCACAUUUAGGCUCACACUAGGGCUCUAAUCUCUGACCUCAUGAUCUACGCCCGAGCCCGUAACCACUAUUACAUCAUUAGUGGUUUUGGUGUAACUUUGUUCAAGCAAGUAUUCAAACUUUUUGAGUUACAUCAUAAUACAAAUUUACUAGCAAAAUACCCAGGAAAAACAAUGAGGGGAUUUAUGUACGUACUCCCUGCCACAGAUAUAUUUACAUACAUACAUAUGCAAAAUUUUCCAUAUAUUUAGAUGAACUCCGAGAAACAUUUCUCUACAUGUAUAACUCUCAAAAAACAGAAUAUUCGUAUCUUUUAAUAGGUAAUUUUGCAACGUAUAUAUGUAAACACAACAUUUCAAAGGAAUGCAGUUUCUGAUUUGUAAACAUGAAAAACGAAUUGUGUACCCAAGAGCAAAAAAGGAAUUGAGCGUGAAUUGUCAUGGAGUGGAAUGGUAGCUAAUCUAAACUAGACAAACAGGCAUACACCAACAUUUGGCGAAAUAUUCUCACUAGCUUCUGUCAACUUAGUAGUCAUAAUUCAAAAUGUGUGACAAUGUUCAGAAAAGGAUUAAGCUACGACCAAGAAAUAUCUCAAAAAGUAACAAACUGCCAACACCAAGGAGAGGAACAAGAGACUCACCAUCUCAAGCUUUUGGUAUGUCGACGUCCUUGAUUGACUCGCGCCAACCAUAAACCCUAGCUCCAUCCUGGUCAACGAUCUUAAUCACAAAGUUUGGUGGAGCGAUGACCAGUCUCGACCGGAUUUCUGCAAUGAUAUUGUCGACAAGAUCGAUGGCUUCUUCCACGGACAUGCCGGGGUGGUAAUGCCGGUCCAUCAUAGACAAGGAGAAAUAGGAUCCGUACCCAAAAGCACCCUUGUCGAUUUUGUGAAGAGUUGCAAUGUAGUCAAUGUAGUAGAGAGACGGGCCGAUAUCCUUGUCGUAGCCAGCUAGUAAUAUGUUAACGAAAUAUGGGUUCUGGAGAAGAAAGAGCAUGUAACAUAAAUGGAGAAUAACUAACAAAGAAAAGCACUAAACGACAGUAACUGUCAUAGCAAGAUAGAGAAAAUGUUAUAUCCAAGGUAUUCAAUGGCAAUGCAGCUCAGUUUUCCUGGAAUACAAGUUAAUAAGAUCCAGCAAAUCUAGGCUUUUUAUUUCUACAUUUAGAAGCAAACAUUAGAAAGGAUGUGUGGAAGUACCCUUACAUGUAUUAUUUCCAUCAUAUCGAAAUAUAUGAAUUAUGACAGUCCCAAAUCACACCAAAUAACUUGCACGAGAACCAUAGUGAAUACCAGUAAAGUUCAACAGUUCCGUGAUGAAAUUAUCGAUUAUCGAUAAUAACAGUUAUCAGGUCUAAUUGAUUAAAAACAGGGGAAAUAGUUCUAUCAAUAGAAUGUAGCUGUUCUAAUGUUCUAACAUUGUGCUGUCAAUAGUUCAAUCAAUAAAGGAUAAGAAAAGUACAGAAACAGAGGAAAGGAGAAGUCCGAGCACCAUCAUAAGAAGAAAAAGGAGGAAAAGGGAAAGCAUAUGAAGCCCUUCAAACACGCGAAUACAGCACCAAGAACGGAAGCUGAUUGCCUCUAUUCUCAAAGGAAAAGACAGGUUCAACUACAAAUUAAGUUCCAAUAUAAGAAAUCGUAGUUAAAUCAUUCUUGAUUGAGUUUAUUUGAUUUUAAUGAGUCGAUUUUGACGUCAUGCUGGAUCAUAAUUGCGUAAAGACUGCCCAAAUCCAGUAUAAAUUGAUUCCGGACAAUCUUCAGCUGAUUUAAUAGUUGACCACUUACAAUCUUACAAUCUCAUCAACAUUGACCACCAAUCAAACCACAGCAAAAAAUAGCACAUUAUAAAUCACAUUUAAUUGAUAUCUUGCCCUUCUUACGCCUAUACUUUACCAACUAACUAUAUAAUCAUAGCCAUAGUAAUUUUUCAAUCCAAUACAAGUAGUAUCUUUAUGAUAUUCUCAUGUCCACAGUUUAAGUUAACAAUAAGCUGAUGUCUCCGCAUAAAGAACAAAUAAGUCUCGUUAGACAAGCACGUAUAAAAUGAUAUUUGUAAACAACAGUGUCGUAUAUCAAUUUUUCAACUGUUGAAGCACAAGUUACAAUCUCAAACAGAGUAAAGUGAUGCUCAAUUACUUCAAUAAAAAGUUAGAUACUCAAUUUCAAUGCGCUUUCGACAACAUCAACUCUCAAUACUAGCUAAUCUAUCAAAAAUUACAUUAUGCUCAUCAAUCUAAACCUAAUCGGCAUGCCAAAAAACAAAAGAACCCUAGAAUUUGACCACAUGUGACGCAAACAGUAACAAAACCCUACCUUCCGGAGGGCGGUGGCAAGCUCGCCACGGGUGAAGUUGGCGGCGGCGGCGGUGGUGAGGGGGAUUCCGUUCCUAAACUGGUAGAGGUGCAUGUUCUUCUGUAUGUACUCCGUGAACUGCACCCUGCGGGAUCAAACCCCUCGAUCAUAACUACGAUCUCCAUGGGACCCUAACAAACUAAGAUCGAUCGAUAGAGCUAUCGAUCGAGAGAUCGCCAGAGUUGAAGAGGAGGGAUGGAAACGUACCUGUCGCCGCCCUCGCCAGAGGCGCCGAGGAGCUUGUGGGAGUCGAGGAGCAUGACCUUGUCCUCGUCGGUUUUGUGGACGAGGAUGCUGUGUACGGCGGAGGUGUCCGCCGCGACCACGGCGAACCCGUCGCCCACCAUCCCGAACACGCACUCCAUUCGCACUAGGGUUUCUUCUUCUUCUUCUUCUUCUUCUUCUUCCUCGGAUCGAUGGAACAACAAUUGAGGAGAGGACGACGAAACGACGAUGGGGGGUUUUGGGUGGGACGAGUAUGAGAUCACACGAACCGGACCGGGUCGGGUUUCCAGGCUAAAUUUCGUGGACCGGAUCGACCAAAGCACGUAAACGCCCAUAUUCGGUCCGGUCUAGUAAGCCGGGCAUAAUGGGCCGAAUUAGAUGGGUUAGGCACCUCAUUUGAAAUCAAAACUACCAAUCAAACCGGAUCCUGAUUUAGAUCCUUCGUAUCAUAUAGUAGUUUGUUAGUACACUCUUUACGUAGUCGAACUCUGCCUGUGAGAGUUAUCUUCAGGCAACUAUAAAUUAAACUCCCUCAUUCAAUCUCGAUUUUAGGUUGCUUACUGGGACAGUAAUGAAAUAAAGAAGUAAAACGCACGUACGGUAGUUUAUUAGUACACUCUUUACCUAGUCAAAUUCUGCUUGUGGGAGUUAUCUUUAGGCAACUAUAAACUAAACUCCCUCAUUCAAUCUCGAUUUUAGGUUGGUUACUGAGACAGUAAUGAAAUAAAGAAGUAAAACGCACGUAUGGUAGUUUAUUAGUACACAUUUUACCUAGUCAAAUUCUGUUUGUGGGAGUUAUCUUCGGGCGACUAUAAACUAAAUUCCCUCAUUCAAUCUCGAUUUUAGGUUGGUUACUGAGACAAUAAUGAAAUAAAGAAGUAAAACGCAUGUAUAGUAGUUUACUAGUACGCUCUUUACCUAGUCGAACUCUCUCCUUGUGGGAGUUAUCUUUAGGCAACUAUAAAUUUAACUCCAUCAUUCAAUUUCGAUUUUAGUUUGGUUACUGGGACAGUAAUAAAAUAAAAAAGUAAAACGCUCUUUUCAUGACAUAGUUUAUUAGUACACGCUUUUAUCUUAGUUGAAGGUAUAGCUCGGGCACGUUUUCCUGCGGAGAUCUUUGUACAGACAAAAUCUCAAUUAGCCAAUGAAUAUUCACAAUUAUGACGAUAUAAUCCGAUCUCCGCAAUGUACGUUUAUUAGAUAGAUCAGCAAUGUUGAUUGUAUACUUGUUGAGUUAAUUAAUAAAGGAUGAGUUUUGAGUCGUCACCUCACCAAACAUUACGUACGUACCCAACUACAUGAAGCGCCGAACAUUCAAUUCAAUAAUUAAUUCGAGCUUGUUCUUUCAAAUGCAUACAAAAUUUUAAUACCUGAUCAAUAUAUGGUAAUUAUGAUUGCUCUUUAUAUAAUUACCCCACAAAUUUCAAAACGCAAAACGCAACCCAGCAGUUUUGCUGUUUCGAUUUUACUGUAAUAAAUUAAUUAAAAUGCAGAAACUUAAAUUUAAUAUAAACUUUCAUUCGUGUAAAUCUUGGGGACCUAAUGAACGCGUUGAAACGCUCGGUUCGACAAUCCGACGAGUGUACGCGAAGUUAUUGACGAAACGGUCAGUUUUGGUACAGAUAGCCGCAGCAUGCGGGAUAAGCGCCUAAAAAUCGUAAGAUCGGAACCGGAGCAUCUUGGAGUUAAGGAAUAAGCACCGGAAAAGGCGGAUCGUGAUUUGGAGGUCGUUCGUUAAGUAGCGCAAGAGUUCGGACCCAAACGGGUGCCGAGUGCCGCGGGAGGCCGAUUGCAAGUGUCGACAAGUAAUCGGAAUGCGAGUUAAGAUGGGUUGUGCUUACCGAAGCGACUAGGUCGCCCUUUAUGUCUUAGCAAUGUAAUCUCAUGUUGAUGCAUGUGCAUGUAGACAAGACUAAAUGGUGCAUUAAUAAAUAUGCAUAGAGUAAAUGCAAGUAAAGUAAAGAAUGUAUGAUGAGCAUGAUAAAUAAAUAAUGUAAGCAAGUAAUUGAAAUGCAUGAUGAUAAUAAUGUAUAGUGUAAAUGCAUGUUAAAUAAUGAUGCAUGGAGCCAUGCUAGUAAAUGUUAAGUAGAGAGCAUGAUUAAUAUAAGAUGCAAAUGCUAAAUGGAAAGCAUGCUAAGUAAUUAAUGCUAGUUGAUGUAAAGAAUGCAUGUACUAAUUAUGCAUAGAUGGAAAUGCUAAGUAGAGAGCAUAAUGAGCAUAGCAUGUAUAUAAUGCUAGUUAAAGUAGAGAAUGCAAAGUAGCAUCAUGAGAGCUAAGUAAGUGACAUGAUAACUCUAGUGUAAAUAGAGUUGAUUGGACAACUAGGUUGUCAGAUAGAUCGAGUGGCAUCUAACCUAGUGUUAAAGAACAUAGGUUGAUUAGUAAACCUAGAGUCGAACAAUCUAGGUGUGUGGCAUUUGACCUAGUGUUAGUAAACCUAGGUUGAACUAGUAAACCUAGAAGUGGACAUCUAGGCGAAGAUGACAAGAACCUAGCAAGUGUAUCUAGGUUAAGUGAUGUGGACAUAGAACCUAGAGUAUUGGAACCUAGGUUGAUGAGUAUAGUGGUAUAGCCACUAGGAUGAGCUAGGUCGACAGUAUAGGGUUGGCUAUGAACCCUCGACCUGUGGUAAGUGGAUUCCGGAAUCCCAGGACUUAUGAUGUCCCUGGUACAGGCUAGGGCGUUCGUGCGACGACUUCGCCGCCGAGCUUGGUACCGUGGGUAGAUUGGGGGCGAUCAUAUGGAGAUCACCGCCCGGGGCUUGAACCAUUGUCGUGGCGUUUGUGCGACGAUUUCGCCGCCGGAUGGUUAAGCCAUUUGAGGAUCAGACCGCCAGAGUAGACUGAAUCCAUGCUGGGUAAGUACGAUGCGGGUGCCUCCAGGUGACUGAGUCUGACAUGAUCGUUGUUGGGUGUGGUGCGACCCGUUCGCCGCCAGACGGUAUGUCAUGUCUCGAGCUCACGCUGGGUAAGUGCAACGCGAUCGCCACCGAUGGUCAAGUCUUAUGACUCGAGCCGUGUUCAGCGUGUGCGACGAUUUCGCCGCUAGGAGGCUGAGUCAGAGAGAGUGCGGUAGGCUGUUGAGCAGCCAGUGCGCGGACUAUCCGCAAAUGAUUGACUCGAAGCCGAAUCGGGUGAUUAGCUAUGAUAGGAUAGAGGAACCCUUAUGAGCUAGAGAUAGAGGCUUGAGCUAAGGUAAAUAGAAACCUUAGAAGCUAGUGGUUGGUGUUGUGAUCCUAAGGUAAUAGAAAUCAAAUAAUUUAUACUCCUUAAAACUUUCUUAACAUCAAAAAUAAAAAACCAAUUUUAAACACUUAAAAAUCACACACUUAAAAAUCACACUCCUCAAACGUAAAUAAAUACCACAAUAAAUCAAUCGAAAAAAAGAUAAAU
This 81632-nucleotide long non-coding RNA is filed under the name Ananas comosus (pineapple). Its description in RNAcentral is "long non-coding RNA (ACOM_LNC006733)". The record is from RNAcentral. Lineage: Eukaryota; Viridiplantae; Streptophyta; Magnoliopsida; Poales; Bromeliaceae.